CUUGGCGCCAAGUUCGGCGGCCACCCGCCCAGGAAGUGGAUUGGGGUGUUCCAGGCCAGCUCGGAAGGCGCGAUCCGUGCCGGCGAGAUGGUGGGCCUCGAGGGCCGCUUCCUGCGUGCAAUCGACUUUCGCCUGUUCUUAGAGACCUGGGAGUUCGAUUCCUUCUGCCUUGUGCUGGAGCGGGGGCCUCGGGCACCAAGGGGCGGCAGCGGUAGCGUUGGCUGCGCCAGCAAGAAGAGGCAGGCGGACGCCACGGUCGGAGAGGAUGAGCGCCGCCGCGUCCGAGCUCGCCUGCCGCCACCUGCCGUCUUGUCCAAUUAGGAUUUGUUUUCAAUUUGAAGUUUCGCCUUCAAUUCGCUUAUUAUUUCUUUUAGUUGCUUUUGAUUGUUCGUCUAUCUAUUUUUGCUGCAGGUACAAGGCUAGGAGUAGAAGUGUUCGAGGUGGAGAAGGCGUUGUCCAGUGUCCGAUCAGGGAUCAGCUUCUCCUUGCUGGAGCCUGGAGGAGAGCCUGGUGUAGGAUGCGUCGUCCCGCUUCGGAUCAUGGAUGACCUCCUGCUCGUCGCCAGAGCCUGGAUGGUAGUCAACAGAUCUUAGUUUUAGCCAAGGUUGUUAAAGCGAUUGCUGGCUCACUGAAAGAGUUCUCUAGUACUGGGUUUUCAAGCUUUGGAGUCAAUAAAAAGGGCACAAUAUGGUGUUCUGUACUCUGAAGUUUCAGUGUUUAGUCUGUUUGAGCUACUGCAACUCAGUGAAUGAGUAUACUAUCCUUCAGUUCUGCCAGAUGUUAUCAGUUAAUAGGUCUCAUUGCCUUUUGUAUUAUUGCAGUAGAUUAGGCAAUUUACUUGUGAUUAGGAUGUGUUUCUUCAGUGCUCGAUUUUGGUGUGAUUCUUCUCUUCUGUGUAAGACUUUCUCAGAUCAAUAAAAGGGAUAAUAAAGUGUCAGACUUUUGUCAUGAAAUGUCCAAUUUUCACCCUCUGAAGUCUGAUUUUCAACCCAUAACUACAAAAGUGGACAGGGACAACCAUCCAACGGGCAAAUUUGGCCCUUUGGUGGUUUCGAGGGUGGUUUUCCAUUUUCAAGAAAUUUUAAAAGUUUUGACUUAAUCAAAAAAUUCAUAACUAAUUCAUUUCAAAUCCAAAAAAUAUGAAGUUGGUAAAAAAAAUUUCUAAAAUUGUAGGCUAUUUGUCUGUGGGGGGGGAUGUGUCUACUAAUGCAAGAACUAGCGAGGAAACAAAUAAUGAUCCGCUCAAAUAGAAACAGGAAACAGUAUCAGGUAAAGAAUUAGAACAAACGGAAGAACAUAAGCAGCUUUGCAAUGGUCAUUGUAGCCUCUCAGAAUUAAUCCUCCAUGAAGGCAUGAACCAUGACUCAUCGUCUGAUUCCCCUCGAUAUGUGAGCAGUAUAUGCUUACAGAUUCGCACUGCAGCUGUGCAGCAUGUCAGGAUGCCACUUUGAGCAGCAUGUUUGUUCAUCAAAUUUUCAGUCUCCUUUUGAUUUGCAUGUCUGUCUUCAAACGCAUAUUGAGGCAGGGGAUUCUAAAUCUGACAUUCCGACUAUCUGAGAGCACACUCAAGUUAACUACCAGGUCUCCGCCAGCCCAAAUGUGUAGCCUCUGUUUCUAUGUUCCCUCUGACAGUUUAGCUGAAAAUGGAUAGUUAGGAAAAACAUUAUCUUGACGUACUGAAAGGCAACCAUCUACUUCAUUUACAACGCCCACCCUCUCUGUGACCAUGUUUCCAAUAUGCCUUAACAAUAUCUGGUCCGAAAAAGAAAAGGCAGUGCUAGUGGCAAAAAUUAGGAAGUAUCAUCAUUAACUAUUUACUGUUCAUAGCACAGGUCCCUGAACUAUAUAUAGUACUAAAUAAAUUAUGACUCUUGUGGCCUUGCCUAUACUAUUCUAGAACAAAGGUGUGUUCUCAAAAUACUUAAAUUUACUUCUAUUUAAGUUUGGCCCCAAUUAUUUUGACUGUAUUUGACAUUAAGAGUUAACUGUGUAUUAAGAGUCCUUUUGAUAUUUCAGGGAAUAAGAUAUUUGCUAAUAUUCUGGACUGUUCAUAUGUCUUUACCAUGUUACCCAGGAAAUGGCUCCAUUUACUUAUAGAUGGCACUUUGAGCAGCAUGUUUGUUCUUCAAAAUCCCAAUGUCUCUCAUUUUGAUUGUCAUUUUUGAAAAGACGCAAUGCGUAAUCAUCACCAUGCCAUGAGCCAUGUAUCUGCUAUGCAGGCGCCUGUUUUCAAACGCAUAUUCAGACAGGGAAUUCUUGUGGAUCAGUAUUUGUAUUUAUGGUGGGGGUACCAGCAAGUUCUCCCUCUCUAAGAAAAUCUGAGAGCACACUCAAGUUAGUGGCCAAGACUCAUAAAAGAUGUAGUCUCUGUUUCUAUGUUUAGUCUGUUUUUUUUUGGGCGAAAGUCUAUGUUUAUACUCUGACUUAUGAAAAUGGAUAGUUAGGAAAAACAUCAUAAAACAUCAUUCUUAUGUACUGAAAGGCAAUCAUCAAUUUUUAUUUACAAUGCCCAUCCUCUCUGUGACCAUGUUUCCAGUAUGCCUUAACAAUAUCUGGCCAAAAAGAAACAAUGGUGCUGGCGGCAUAAAUUUGGAGGUAUCUUUUUUCUAUCAAAUCAACAAUCUACUAUUCAAAUCCCGGACUACAUAAGAUUAAAUAAAUUAAUGAUUCUUUCCUAUACUGAUCUAGAGUAAAGAUGUGUUCCCAGAUUAUUUAAAUUUACUUUUUUUAGAAUCCGGGCUAAUCAUUUUGACUGAAUUUGACAUUAAGAGUUGACUGUAUAUUGCCAAGUUGACUUGUGAUAUUGGUUAGCAUUCGAGAUUCUUGUACUAUUUACCACAUAGCUAUUUUUGCUAAAAUUUGCCCCUGGUUGCUUGGCAAUUUAGAUUUCUGGUACUUCUGUGAGGUGGGUAUCAUGCUCAGUCGUGUGGACAGCAUGCAAGAAUCAAGUGUUAAUCUUACUUCUACCUCUAUCUUGUAGAUGCCAUUUUGACAAUACUGCAAUUUGUUUUCCAUUACAUACUACAGUGUGUUCACAUCUCAUCUGCAUUUAGUCAAACAAUAAAUACAUUGUACCAAAAGCCUGUAUAUAUCCUAUUUUUCUUGCGAUUAUGGAUAUGAAGCCCUCCUAAUAUCUGCUCAUUUCACAGUUGACAUGAGCAGUAGUUAGGCCUACCAUUGGGAAGGGUAUGGGCAAACCCACUCUUAUUUACGUCCAAAUCCAAAUAAUUAUUAUCCACUCCUUACCCUCCUCAAUCCCACCCAUAUCCAAUGGAUAAUUAAUAUUGUACUACAUAUAUAUAUGCAUAUCCAAUUGAUUAAUCAUAUCCGCCUCAUAUCCUACCCUCCUCAUUUCUAAUGAGUAUAUAAUUUUCUACUCGUACCCUCCCCAUUUGAAUUGGGUGUGAAUUAAGGGAGAGAGUAUGAUACCCAGUGGCAGGCCUAACUGUUGUGGAGGCAUGCGAUGUCCUCCUUCCCUACAAGAUCCUUCUUGAGUCUUGACAUUGUUUUUAGUAUCAUUAGUAGUCAGUUUUGACAGUCAAAUCUUUGAGCUAUUAUUACAUCAAAGUUCAAAGAUACAUCCUAAAGCUAGUUCCAAGUUCGUAAGCUAAUGACAGGCGAUUCUUUUAAACAGAAAGGCAUCAUAGUUUCUCUGCAUCCGUUAGUUGUUACUAUUUUGUUUUUUAUGCCAUGCACAAGUCGACCUUGAAUUGAACUGAAUAGCCUAGUAGUUCAAAUCGACUUGUUUAGUGGAGGUGCUGAUGACUUGUGUUGAACAGUGUACUUGCACACUAUAGGUGACGCCGUGACGGUGACUUCUAUUUAACAAUGCUUGAUAGAACUUCAUUUCCACAUUAAUCGAAGAAGUCCAGUUUUAACCUAUAAAUUCACGUCGCGAAUGUCGAAGGUGAAAGCAUCUAAGCUCCUAACUUGUGUUUUGGUAAUUAAUGACGGUCUUAGUGGACUAACAAUUUCUUCUUUAUAGGCAACUUAAAGUUGCUUAAAGUUGCUUAUUGUAGUUGCUUAUUUUUUAGCUCUAAGUGUUUGGUUUCCACAUUGUAGUUGCCCAAACAGCUCUAGCUUCCUCUAGAUGACCCGUAGCCAGUCAUCUGCGUCCAGAGGGUUGACAGACCCGCCAAAAGUGGGUGGCUUGGUCCGGAGGAAGUCCGUCAACUUCUCAUUCAUGCUCUGUCCGCGGGGCCUUAGCGAGUGAUGGCAUUGGCCAAGGCUUCCAGCAGAAGGGUCUGGUUGUUCAUCACUUGCACCAGAUCAAUGACCAGUGGGCACGGUGGCUGUUGUACUCCCACUUGGGUUUCUCCCCUACCCUCGGGCUGAUUUACUUCCUGCUCCUCAUGGUGCACUGCUGGUUCUUGCCCUUCCUGCUGUCUUUCUGCACUAGGGGUGGCACGGGCUUGACUCGGGGAGGUCUUGGUAGCACGCUUAGGAGGCAUCUGCAGAUUGAGUGAACUUUCAUGAGACUUGGAUUUGGAUUUUAAAGUGAUGUUUAGUUAAUUAGCUCGGGUUUUCGAAAAGACAGAAUCCACCUCCUGACAACAAGCACACAGACUAACAAACAACAAACACAAAUAAUUUUAUUAUUUUGCCGGGGUGGUUACAACACUUGGGGUGAGGCCAAAACACGCACUACACGGCCGGUACAACAACACAACUGGGGUACAAUUCUAGACUCGGGACGGCUUCUUAGGUACAACUCUAGGUGGGGCAUUCUACUCGCGGGACGAAUCUUCACCCUGAACAGAGUGGUCUUCUGGCGAAAUAAGGAGGGCCAGCACAUCAUCCUUUAGGGUCCCACCUACUGGAGGGGGCUCUGACGCUUCUCCAUUGGCCACCUCAGAGUCUUUUUCCGAAGGAGGUAGGGUGGGGCAUCAGGGCUUUUCCGCUUGCCGGAUCCUUGGGCAACAGGGACUCCAUCCAAGAUUGGGGCCUUGUCGUCCUCCACGACCCGCAUCUUCCUUCUCGCGCGGUUCGUGUGAUGGGCCUCCUUCAGUGCCCGAGAGUGCCGAUCCUCGGCCUCCUUGAGGGCCUCAAUGGCGACGGCCUCAUUGCUUUGGGCGGCCACGGCUCGUGCCUCAGCUGCUGCCAACCUCACCUGGAGUCUCCUUACCAUAACCUCUGCGUCCUCGGCUCUACGAAUUUGCUGCUUCAGAUGUGCGGUCUGCUCAUCGUAGAGCUCAUCCAAGGUGAGAAGGUAGGCAGCCAUGUGGAGCACGGUGGGGUCAUCCUCGCGCUGUCGACGUCCUUCCAAAGUCCUCACCCGGGCCAGCCAAACCGGGCGGUUCUUCUUGACAGGCGGGUAAAACCUCAUCGGUGUGCGGCCGAUGUGCCUCUCAUAGAUCUGGCACAGGUAGCGCAUAGCCUUCUGAGCUGCCACCUGGUAAGUGUCUUUCCGCUGGAAACCAGUGGCAGACACGUUCCAUGGCUGAAUGUUGGGGUAACGACUGCUCCUGCCGACGUAGAUGGUCAUCUCACACCGGAGGGUCCCACGGUCUUCAUACUCCCGGCUAGUGUACUCCGGGCGCUCAUAAAUCCCAAGGCGGUCCAUGCAGGCGAACAACAACCUAGGAAAACCGAGCUCCACCAGGCAAUGGUUGUUGACCCACCCUUCUUCGGCCAUCUGGAAAGAAUCGGGGUGUAAAUCAGUUUUGCAAUUGAGCAGAGGAAGCAAGAAAUUUUGUAAAAUCAUUUAUUUUUGGUCAAAAAGGCUUUUUUGAUCCUAAUGGUCACGUCCUACGGCGAACGACAGCUCUGAUACCACCUGAAGCGUCCCCACAUAAGUAGAGACUAAAUAUGAUACAAAUAUCAGUCCCAUGAGGCUGAUAGCACAUUUAUUCAACAAAUAGUUCAGAAAUCGUACAACUCCCGAGGGAGCGGGCGGGCAAGCCACACCCAAAGUAAGACUAAACCGAUAACGAUACAAAUCCAAGUUGCAGUCCAGUCGGACUCUGGGCUGCAAUCGGAACUAUGCGUCAGCGGAAGCAUCCUGCAAAAGACCAACACCACAGGCAACGUUGGGUGCGGACGCGACCUCCUACUCGGCGACGUAGUCUGGGUCCUCCUCUAAAGCAACAAAACAGGGGUGAGUACAAAAAUACUUAACAAGUCCAACCCCAUCCACAGAGGGGGAUACAACAGGAGUAUGCACAGGAUACAACAAGGAUGAGGUUAAGCUUCUUUUGCAAUAAAGCUAGAUUUUCCACACAUGCAAUUGUUCAUUUUCAAAGAGUUUUUUCAAAGUAUUUUCUUUAGUAAUUGAAACAUUGAGUGGGGUUGAUCCUACACAAAGGAUCCAAGUUUUAUCGCUACCGGACUCCCCGUCCGCCAUAGCCCACGGCACAACAGCCGGACACUUCCAAAAUUCAACGCACGCCAUAAAAACCAUCCCUCUCCAAAUGCUAGUUAUUUGACCAAGCCGUAACUCGUACAAUACCGUGGACACGACUACCCGGAUAGGUUUUAACUCUGUAGAGGUUGUACACUUUUCCCACAAGUAGGGUACCAUAGCAUGAUCACCUUAGUGCCGGUGCGGAUCCUAACAAAGCCAUUACCCACCUUAGCCAAGACUGACUAGUCAACACGAAAGCACUCAAGGGGUUAACGACCUACCAUCGAGGUCUUAACCAGGACCUAAGUUACAAAGAGCUUACUCCUUUUUCUUGGGCUCCCGUUGCUCACCAGCUCACCCGAAGACUAACAGUUUAGCUAGUGGGAUUUAUGCUAAGACGUCACCCAUACAACGGUCGAGUGGUUGCACGAUGGUUGAAUUAGGAAAGAUGACACAUCAACUCGGUCCUUAACUAUCAUAAGAUGGAUAUCUCCCAACCUUGCUCAACCACUAAGGUACGAGCCCAACAUUCUGGCAUUUCAUACAAGAAACACCCAUCCAUCUCAUCUACACAUUUCUUGCCUUUGAACCCGGAAACCCAUCUUCUCAUUUGAAAACACUCAUGCAUUUAGUUUCUAAAUAAACCAUUGUAGUCGUGAUUGAAUUUGAGUAACGAGUUCCUAAGCAUUCUAGCAGUAAUUAUCAUCUAAAUAGAGCAAGUCAUAUUUAGAGACAAAUAUAGGACAACAAGGAAUAAUCAUAACAAUUAAGGGGUGGCUAUCCAACCAUGUCUUGCAAUAAAAAUAAUAUGCACUUUUAUAAAACAGGCCGAUAGGUUGUGUUUGAAAAACUAGGAAUAAAUAUGCAUCAAAGGGUGAGAUUGAACUUGCCGUUCUCAAAGCCUUCAGGGGGCUCCUGCUCGCGGUACUGGUUCUCGGGCUCGAGCUCGUGGUCGAACUCCUCCUUGGGUACUCCACGAUCUAUGGCACACACAAAUGAGCACACAAUAAAUAAAAAGAAAAUAAGAUUUUAUCCGUUGAGCUCCGAACAGAGAAUGCGAACGGAAAAUAGGUGGGGUGAGUAUUUUCAUGAAAUUUGGAUAUGCCUCGGCGGAAGUAUAUGGGAGGAGGCUGUGGUCGAAUUUGGGAUCAAUUGGAGGAAGUUUGGCGCAUGAACUGACGAGUUAAAGGAGUGUUAGGGCUUAAAACAAGGUUUUAGGACUACACUGCGAGAACCAGGGACCUAUUUGUAAUUAUUUCUGAAAGGUGGAAGGGCGUAUUCGUGAAACUUCUCUGAGAGAGGUGGGAGGGCUGGUUUGCAAUUAGAGGAAAGGAGCGGGGUAGAUCAAAAUUGAAGGGGAUUUUCCCCUUCUUCUUCCAUGGACCGUUACCUGAGAUGGAGGAGGGGGAGGAACUCGGUGGGGGGGUCGGCCGGCCGGGCCUCGCGGUGGCGGGCCGUGUGGUGGGGGAGGUAGAGGGGGAUGAGGGGGUUCCAUUUGAGGCAUCACCUCGGGCGGAUGGUGGCCGGAGCUAGGGGGCCGGCGGCGGGCAAGGAGGCGGCGGGUGGACCUCCUAGCGGCGGCGCGUGGGGCGGCGGGGAAAGGGGACGGCGAGCAGAAGGGAGAGGUCGAGGUGGUGGUGAGGGGCGGCUGGGCCUUGGCCCUUUUAUAGGCGACAGGAGGGGGCGGGCAGAGGCCAGAGGCGAUGAUGGCGGCUGAGACUUCCGGCCGGUGGCGUGUCGGAGUGGAUGUGCUCGUGGAUAGCGUGGUGGCUCAGUCGACGAGGAGGCACAGGGAGCAACGACUGUGUGGGGAGGCACGCCAGGUAGGGGUGGGCGGAGGCUGGACGGCGGGCGGUCCGACGUGUCCGGUGGCGCGCGGCGCGGCACGCGCGGCCUGGGCACGCGCACGGGCGGGCGCGGCGCGGGGCCAGGCGCGGGCGGCGCGGGGCCAGGCGUGGGCGGCGCGGGGCCAAGCGGGCGGGGCCGAGCGGGCGGGUGGGAGGUGAUAGGUGGAUGGCUCCAGGCGGGCGGUGUCGGGCGCCAAGCGUUAGGGGGAGUAGCUCCAGGAAGAAAAGAAGGAGGGAGAAGAAAGGAGGAAGAAGGAGGAGAGAAGAAAGAAGGAAGAAGGAGAAAGGAAAAGAAGAAAAAGAAAAAGGGGAAAAAGGAGAAAGAAAAAGAAAAGGGAGGGGAAAAUGGCGAAAGUUGCGGAAUUGACUGGCACGCUUGAUGGAUUUGACGGGCACGCGGCAAAAAUUGCGGGGAACGAAAAAAGAUGAUGUCGCGCUAGGUGACGGGAAGACGGGGUCACCAGGGAGGAAAAGAUUUCUCGGGAGCUCAAUGGUCGGAAAAAUUUUGAAAUAAAUUUUUAGCGAGUGAUUUGAGUUAGUAAUUUUUUGGAGCAUUACAAACCUACCCCACUUGAAUUGAAUCUCAUCCUUGAGAUUCGGCUGAAUUCUGAAAGGAUGGGGAAACUCCUUUAAUGCAUCCUCACGUUCCCAAGUAGCUUCUUCUUCACCAUGCCUACUCCAUUGGACUCUGCAAAUCCGUACCACAUAAUUCCUUGUACUUCUGGUGACAGUGUCUAGAAUCUUGACAUGUACCUCCUGAUACCGCAGAUCCUUUUGCAAAUCUAUGGUUUCCAUCGGUACUUGUUCUUCCGGUACCAUCAAGCAUUUCCUUAGCUGGGAAACAUGGAACACUGGGUGUAUAUCCGACAUUUCUUCGGGCAGCUGAAUACAGUAUGCUACAGCUCCAACUCUUUUUAGUACCUGGUACGGUCCAAUAUACCGAGGGGCUAAUUUUCCUUGCACUUGGAACCUUCGGGUACCUCGAAUCGAGGAGACCUUGAGGUAGACGAAGUCUCCUUCAUUGAAAAUCAACUCUCGUCUUCUUUUCUCUGAGUAAUUCUUCUGCCUAGACUGUGCUGCCUUUAGCUUCUCUCGAACUUCGGCUACUCAAUCUUCUGCUUCUUUGAUAAAGGCGGGUCCCACUAGAGUGCGCUCUCCCACUUCCAACCACAUCAACGGGGUCCUGCACUUUCUUCCGUAGAGAGCCUCAAAUGGUGACAUGCCUAAGCUGGCUUGGUAACUGUUGUUAUAUGCGAACUCUGCAUAGGGUAAACUUUGUUCCCAGUCCUUGCCAUAAGUAAGGACACAUGCCCUUAACACAUCCUCCAUAAUUUGAUUCACUCUUUCUGUUUGGCCAUCGGUCUGGGAGUGAUAGGCUGAACUGAAAUCCAGUUUGGUGCCCAUGGCUUUAUGUAGACUUCUCCAGAAUCUAGAGGUAAAUUGGGUCCCUCUAUCCGAAACAAUUCUGCUAGGCACACCAUGCAGCUUCACUAUGUUGUCCACAUAGAGUCGAGCUAGCCUUUCUCCACCAUAAGUGGUCCGUACAGGUAGGUAGUGAGAAACUUUAGUGAGUCGAUCCACUAUUACCCAUAUGGAGACAUUUCCUUUCUGAGUCUUGGGUAAACCCACUACAAAAUCUAUGCCAAUCUCGUCCCAUUUCAAAACUGGGAUGGGUAGUGGUUGUAGUAAGCCUGCUGGCUUCUGGUGUUCAGCCUUAACCUUUUGGCAAAUAUCGCAAUGGGCGAUGAACUGGGCUAUGUCCGCUUUCAUCCCAUUCCACCAGUACUUCUGUUUUAAGUCCAUAUACAUCUUGGUGGAUCCCGGAUGGAUGGAGUAUGCCGAGUUAUGGGCCUCAUCCAUGAUGGUCUACCAGAAAUCACCUUCCUUGGGUACGCAAAUCCUAUCCUUGUACCAUAAGGUCCCUUUGUCAUCCACUCAAAAAUCUGGGGCUUUAUUUUCUCCGGUUUGCUUGCGAAUCCUUACCAAGUCCUGAUUUGAACCUUGGGCUUCUUGGAUUCUAUCCUCCAAAGUGGGCUGAACACUUAGCUUGCGGCUGGUAUUCUGAGGAAUAAUGUGCACAUUUAACCAAGCCAUUUCCUCUUGCAAACGGGUAUCCUGGGGUCCGAUCUGUCCAUUGGAUUUUCUGCUUAAGGCAUCAGCUACCACAUUAGCCUUACCGGGUUGGUAGUGGAUUUCCAGAUUAUAAUCCUUGACCAACUCUAACCACCUUCUUUGUCUUAAAUUCAGAUCUGGUUGGGUGAAGAUAUACUUUAGACUCUUGUGGUCCGUGUAAAUCUCACACUUGCUCCCAAUUAGAUAGUGCCUCCAAAUCUUGAGAGCAUGCACUACAGCGGCAAAUUCCAAAUCAUGGGUUGGGUAAUUCUUUUCAUGAGGCUUAAGCUGGCGGGAAGCAUAUGCCACUACCUUCCCAUCCUGCAUAAGGACACACCCCAACCCUUGUCGGGAAGCAUCACAAUAAAUGAUGAAGUCCCGCUGAAUGUCCGGUAGGGUUAAUACUGGGGCGGUCUUCAAUCUUUUCUUCAGUUCUUGAAAACUCCUCUCACAUGACUCUGUCCACAUAAACUUCUUAUCCUUCCUAAGUAGUUCCAUCAUGGGCCGAGCUAUCUUAGAGAAUCCUUCAAUAAACCUCCGAUAGUACCCAACUAGACCGAGAAAGCUCCUGAUUUCACUAACAUUGGUGGGUUGCUGCCAGUUGGAGAUGGCUUCAACUUUCUCAGGAUCAACUGCUACUCCUUCUGCGGUCAAAAUAUGACCGAGAAAUGCCACUUUCUCGAGCCAAAAUUCACAUUUGCUGAAUUUAGCAUAGAGUCGGUGGGCUCUCUAUUUUUCUAACACCACCCGUACAUGUUGUUCAUGUUCUUGGACACUCUUGGAGUAAAUAAGUAUGUCGUCAAUAAAGACCACGACAAACUUAUCUAACUCCUCCAUAAACACCUUGUUCAUGAGAUUCAUGAAGUAAGCAGGUGCAUUGGUUAGUUCAAAAGACAUCACUGUGAACUCAAAUUGUCAAUAGCGGGUGACAAAGGCCGUCUUCGGAAUGUCACUUUCCUUAAUCUUGAGCUGAGAUACCCAAACCUCAAAUCUAUCUUGGAGAAAUACUUGGCUCCCUUCAGCUAAUCAAACAAAUCAUCUAUUCUGGGGAGGGGGUAUUUAUUCUUGAUAGUGACUUCGUUCAGUGCGCGAUAAUCCACGGACAUCCUCAUGCUCCCAUCUUUCUUCUUGACAAAGAGCACUGGGGCUCCCCACGGGGAUGAGCUAGAUAUGAUAAAGCCACUCUGUUACAGUUCACCUAACUAUUUCUUUAGCUCUGCCAGCUCAGAUGCUGCCAUUCUAUAGGGUCUCUUGGCUAUAGGGGAGGUCCAGGAAUAAGGUCGAUUACAAACUCUAUAUCCCUGUCCGGGGGUAUUUCAGGUAGUUCUUCAGGAAAGACAUCAGGGUAUUCACUCACUACCGCAACUCCUUCUAUGGCCUUGGCCUCCAGGCUAAAAACCAUUGGGUCGGGUCCACUCCCCCGAGUGUGACAAGUCACUUGCACACCGUCCAGAUUGACCAGGCGUACUACCUUAUCUGCACACCCUAUGUGACCAUCAUGUAGGCUUAACCAAUCCAUUCCAAGGAUCACAUCUAUUCCCUUAGACUCAAGUACUACUAAGUCUGCUAAAAAUUUCACCCCACUUAAAUUGAUCCUUACCUGGGAACAACCUAGUCGACACUGGAUGUUGGCUCCAGGUGUCCGGGUUAAUAGGGGUAAAUUUAGUAGUACUGUAGGUAUGUGGUGCUUAUCCACAAAGCCUGAUGAUAUAAAUGAAUGCGAUGGUCCAGAAUCGAAGAGUAUUGUUGCCAAGACUGAGCUGACUAGAAACUCACCGAGUACCACGCCCUGAGCUUCUCGAGCCUCUUGUGCGCUGAUGUGGUUGACGCGGGCUCGUCCAAAUGACUUCUGGGGCGGCCUCAUCUGCUGGCUAUUGUUGUUGCCAUGGUUGUUGUUGCUACGGACUAGGACACAGUUAGCCCCUGACACUGCUGCCCUCGGCCCAAUUACUGCGUUGGAGAAGGCUGAUGCGGCUGGCUUGUUGGCGUAUGGGCAGUUGGCGAUGAAAUGCCCUGGCUCAUGGCAGUUGAAGCAUGCCCUGCUGUUGUUGGUGACUUGACUGGUACUGUUCUGUGGGGUCUUGAUGGGGUUCUGGCUCCUGAAUGGGGUGUUGGGCUGAUGAGAACCGGAGGCUUGAGACUGGGUCCGGUACUGCAUAGGAGCUUGGGACCUGGGCAGUGGGUGACCAAAGCUCCUCGGUUUCUAGAACCUGUCCUGCUGGUGAGCCUUGCUUUCCAGGAACCGACGCUUGUUGUCCCUCCGCUCAUCUGCUUUGGCUCUCUCAGUCAGGAUGGCCAUGUUCAUCAGAGUGUUGAAGUCGGGUAGAUCUGAGGAGUAAGCAGGGUCCUUAGUUCUGCACUCAAACCUUUCUUGAACAUGUCCUGCUUCUUUUCAUCUUUGUCCACUUCUUCUGGGGCAUAGCGGGCCAGCUCCAUGAACUGAUAGGUGUACUCUUCCACAGACUUGUUGCCUUGGCGCAGUUCACGGAACUCAUCCUCCUUGCGCUUCAUGGUGGCCACAGGAAUGUGAUAGCAGCGGAACUCUGUCACGAACUCAUCCCAGGUGAUAGUGGAGACAUUCUAGGUGGCGGUGCAGUAGUUCUCCCACCAAGCUAGAGCAGUCCCAGUGAGUUGGUGGGCAGCCAGGAGAACCUUGUCCCUACUCUCACAACCAAACAGCUCUAGCUUCCUCUGGAUGACCCGCAACCAGUCAUCUGCGUCCAGAGGGUUGACAGACCCACCAAAAGUGGGUGGCUUGGUCUGGAGGAAGUCCGUCAACUUCUCAUUCAUGCUCUGUCCGUGGGGCCUUUGGCGAGUGAUGGCAUUGGCCAAGGCUUCCAGCAGAAGGGUCUGGUUGUUCAUCACUUGCACCAGAUCAAUGACCAGUGGGCACGGUGGCUGCUGUGCUCCCACUUGGGUUUCUCCCCUGCCCUCGGGCUGAUUUACUUCACUCUUCCUCAUGGUCCACCGCAGGUGGUGGUUCUUGCCCUUCCUGCUACCUUUUUGCACUAGGGGUGGCAUGGGCUUGAAUCGAGGAGGUCCUGGUAGCAUGCUUAGGAGGUAUCUGCAGAUUGAGUGAACUUUCAUGAGACUUGGAUUUGGAUUUUAAAGUGAUGUUUAGUUAAUUAGCUCGGGUUUUUGAAAAGACAGAAUCCACCUCCAGUCGACAAGCACACAGACUAACAAACAACAAACACAAAUGAUUUUAUUAUUUUGCCGGGGCCGUUAUAACACUUGGGGUGAGGCCAAAACACACACUACACGGCCGGUACAACAACACAACUGGGGUACAAUUCUAGACUCGGGACGACUUCUUGGGUACAACUCUAGGUGGGGCAUUCUACUCGCGGGACAAAUCUUCACCCUAAACAGAGUGGUCUUCUGGUGGAAUAAGGAGGGUCAGCACCUCAUCCUUUAGGGUCCCACCUACUAGAGGGGGCUCCGACGCUGCUCCAUUCGCCACCUCAGAGUCUUUUUCUAAAGGAGGCAGUGCUGGUGGGGCAUCAGGGCUCUUCCACUUGCCGGACCCGUGGGCAACAGGGACUCCAUCCAAGAUCGAGGCCUCGUCAUCCUCCACGACCCGCAUCUUCCUUCUUGCGUGGUUCGUGUGAUGGGCCUCCUUCAGUGCCCGAGAGUGCUGAUCCUCGGCCUCCUUGAGGGCCUCAAUGGCGACGGCCUUGUUGCUUUGGGCGGCCGCGGCUCAUGCCUCAGCUGCUACCAACCUCACCUGGAGUCUCGUUACCAUAAGCUCUGUGUCCUCGGCUCCACGAAUCUGCUGCUUCAGAUGUGCGGUCUGCUCAUUGUAGAGCUCAUCCAAGGUGAGAGGGUAGGCAGCCAUGUGGAGCACGGUGGGGUCAUCCUCGCGUUGUCCACGUCCUUCCAAAGUCCUCACCGGGGUCAGCCAAACCGGGCGGUUCUUCUUGACAGGCGGGUAAAACCUCAUCGAUGUGCGGCCGAUGUGCCUCUCAUAGAUCUGGCACAGGUAGCGCAGAGCCUUCCGAGCUGCCACCUGGUAAGUGUCUUUCCGCCAGAAACCAGUGGCAGACACGUUCCAUGGCUGAAUGUCGGGGUAACGACUGCUCCUGCCGACGUAGAUGGUCAUCUCACAUCGGAGGGUCCCACGGUCUUCAUACUCCUGGCUAGUGUACUCCGGGCGCUCAUAAAUCCCGAGGCGGUGCAGGCAGGCGAACAGCAACCUGGGAAAACCGGGCUCCACCAGGCAAUGGUUGUUGACCCACCCCUCUUUUUUCAUCUGGAAAGAAUCGAGGUGUAAAUCAGUUUUGCAAUUGAGUAGAGGAAGCAAGAAAUUUUGUAAAAUCAUUUAUUUUUGGUCAAAAAGGCUUUUUUGAUCCUAAUGGUCACGUCCUACGGCGAACGAUGGCUCUGAUACCACCUGAAGCGUCCCCACAUAAGUAGAGACUAAAUGUGAUACAAAUAUCAGUCCUAUGAGGCUUAUAGCACAUAUAUUCAACAAAUAGUUCAGAAAUCGUACAACUCCCGAGGGAGCGGGCGGGCAAGCCACACCCAAAGUAAGACUAAACCAAUAACGAUACAAAUCCAAGUUGCAGUCCAGUCGGACUCUGGGCUGCAAUCGGAACUAUGCGUCAGCGGAAGCAUCCUGCAAAAGACCAACACCACAGGCAACGUUGGGUGUGGACGCGACCUCCUACUCGGCGACGUAGUCCGGGUCCUCCUCUGAAGCAACAAAACAGGGGUGAGUACGAAAAUACUCAACAAGUCCAACCCCAUCCACGGAGGAGGAUACAAUAGGAGUAUGCACAGGAUACAACAAGGAUGAGGUUAAGGUUCUUUUGCAUAAAGCUAGAUUUUCCACACAUGCAAUUGUUCAUUUUCAAAGAGUUUUUGCAAAGUAUUUUCUUUAGUAAUCAAAACAUUGAGUGAGGUUGAUCCUACACAAAGGAUCCAAGUUUUAUCGCUACCGGACUCCCCGUCCACCAUAGCUCACGGUACAACUGCCGGACACUUCUAAAAUUCAACGCACGCCAUAAAAACCAUCCCUCUCCAAAUGCUAGUUAUUUGACCAAGCCGUAACUCGUACAAUGCCGUGGACCCGGCUACCCGGAUAGGUUUUAACUAUGUAGAGAUUGUACACUUUUCCCCCAAGUAGGGUACCAUAGCACGAUCACCUUAGUGCCGGUGCGGAUCCUAACAAAGCUAUUACCCACCUUAGCCAAGACUGACUAGUCAACACGAAAGCACCCAAGGGGUUAACGACCUACCAUCGAGGUCUUAACCAGGACCUAAGUUACAAAGAGCUUACUCCUUUUCCUUGGGCUCCCGUUGCUCACCAGCUCACUCGAAGACUAACAGUUUAGCUAGUGGGAUUUAUGCUAAGCCGUCGCCCAUACAACGGUCGAGUGGUUGCACGAUGGUUGAAUUAGGAAAGAUGACACAUCAACUUGGUCCUUAACUAUGACAAGAUGGAUAUCUCCCAACCUUGCUCAACCACUAAGGUACGAGCCCAACAUUCUGGCAUUUCACCCAAGAAACACCCAUCCAUCUCAUCUACACAUUUCUUGCCUUUGAACCCGGAAACCCAUCUUCUCAUUUGAAAACACUGACGCAUUUAGUUUCUAAAUAAACCAUUGUAGUUGUGAUUGAAUUUGAGUAACGAGUUCCUAAGCAUUCUAGCAGUAAUUAUCAUCUAAAUAGAGCAAGUCAUAUUUAGAGACAAAUAUAGGACAACAAGGAAUAAUCAUAACAAUCAAGGGGUGGCUAUCCAACCAUGUCUUGCAAUAAAAAUAAUAUGCACUUUUAUAAAACAAGCCGAUAUGUUGUGUUUGAAAAACUAGGAAUAAAUAUGCAUCAAAGGGUGAGAUUGGACUUGCCGUUCUCAAAGCCUUCAGGGGGCUCCUGCUCACGGUACUAGUCCUCGGGCUUGGGCUCGCGGUCGAACUCCUCCUCGGGUACUCCGCGAUCUACGGCACACACAAACGAGCACACAAUAAAUAAAAAGAAAAUAAGAUUUUACCCAUUGAGCUCCGAACAAAGAAUGCGAACGGAAAAUAGGUGGGGUGAGUAUUUUUAUGAAAUUUGGAUAUGCCUCGGCGGAAGUAUAUGGAAGGAGGCCGUGGUCGAAUUUGGGAUCAAUUGGAGGAAGUUUGGUGCAUGAAAUGCCGAUUUAAAGGGGUGUUAGGGCUUAAAACAAGGUUUUAGGACUAAAAUGCGAGAACCGGAGACCUAUUUAUAAUUAUUUUGAAAGGUGGAGGGCGUAUUCACGAAACUUCUCUGAGAGAGGUGGGAGGGCUGGUUUGCAAUUAGAGGAAAGGAGGGGGGUAGAUCGAAAUUGAAGGGGAUUUUUCCCCUUCUUCUUCCUUGGACCGUUACAGGAGAUAGAGGAGGGGGAGGAACUCAGUGGGGGGGCCGACCGGCCGGGCCUCGCCAGCGGCGGGCCGUGUGGUGGGGGAGGUAGAGGGGGACGAGGGGGUUCCAUUUGAGGCGUCACCUCGGGCAGAUGGUGGCCGGAGCUAGGGGGCUAGCAGCGAGCAAGGAGGCAGCAGGUGGAGCUCCUGGUGGCGGUGCGUGGGGCGGCGGGGAAAGGGGGCGGCGAGCACGGGGGCGAGGGUGAGUUGGUGGUGAGGGGGCCUUUUAUAGGCGAUGGGAGGGGGCGGGCGAAGGCCGGAGGCAAUGAAGGUGGCCGGGACUGUCGGCCGGUGGUGUGCCGGAGUGGAUGUGCUCGUGGAUGGCGUGGUGGCUCGGUCGACGAGGAGGCACAGGGAGCGACGGCCGCAUGGGGAGGCGCGCUAGGAGGGGGCGGGCGGAGGCCGAACGACGGGUGGUCCGGCGCGGCUGGCGGCGCGCGGCGUGGCACGCGCGGCCCGGGCGCACGCACAGGCGGGUGCGGCACAGGGCCAAGCGUGCGGGGCCGAGCGGGCGCAGGCGCGCGGGCAGGUGGGCGGCGACAGGCGGAUGACGCUAGGCGGGUGGCGUCGGGCGCCAGGCGCAGGGGGAGUAGUGCCAGGAAGAAAAGAAGGAGAGAGAAGAAAGGAGGAAGGAGGAGAGAAGAAAGAAGGAAGAAAGAGAAAGGAAAAGAAGAAAAAGAAAAAGGGGGAAAAAGGAGAAAGAAAAAGAAAAGGGAGGGGAAAACGGCGAAAGUUGCGGAAUUGACCGGCACGCUUGAUGGAUUUGACGGGCACGCGGCGAAAAUUGCGGGGAACGGAAAAAGAUGAUGUCGCGCUGGGUGACGGGACGGCGGGGUCGCCGGGGAGGAAAAGAUUUCUCGGGAGCUCAACGGUCGGAAAAAUUUUGAAAUAAACUUUUAGCGAGUGAUUUGAGUUGGUAAAUUUUUCGAGCGUUACAUGAAGUGAGUGUCAAAGGACGCUAUGGUGAUAACUUGGAUGGUUUGUAUGUUGGAAAGCUCAAGGCAAAGAUAUAGGGUUUUCUAUUUUACCGGUCAAGAGGUGCUUAGCAGAUGUAAAUUGACCAGAUUAAUAGGCUAGAUAGCCGUACUAUCAAGAGGGGUCAAUUUCAUUUAUUUGAUGGUUCUAUAGUGCCACUUUGCUCAAACAAUUGUAUUGCAUGCAUAUGGACUAACAUAGUUUGAGAAAGUAAAAAAACUGAGAAGAAAAACAUGUUCUAAAAGAGUGCUAACUGAAUAAAGUGGAUGGUCCGGCCCUAUAUGGGCGGAUGGUCAGCCUAACUUAGACAGAAACGUGUGUUCAGGGUUAGAGGCUAUUUUUGUGAGGUGGGCGGUCCAGCCCUAUAUGGGCGGACGGUCCGCCCCCUGUAAUGAUAUAGUCUGAUACGCAUUAAACGCUGAAGUAGCCGUUGGACUUGAACGGUUGGACCGUCCGCACCCUGUAACGGUAUAGUCUGACAUGCAUUAAAUGCUGAAGCAGCCGUUGGACUUGAACGGCGGAUGGUCCAUCCCCUGUGAGGUGGAUGGUCCGCCAGUUGCCUAUUUUCACGAGUUUUGAACCUAACGGCUAGCUUUUGAAAGAGGGCCUAUAUAUACUCCACCCCCGUGCAUGAGUGAGGUCUUUUGGCACUUUGGAAAGCAUUUGUGACAUCCUUAAGCCCUCUUCCACCUCUCACUCAGAUUGCAUUCUUGUGAGAUUGAGAGCAUCCUAGUGCAUUGCAUCAAGAGUUGGAGCUUUGUGGCACUAGGGAGUCUUCAAGCAAGUGUUAUUGACUUAUUACUCUUGGAGGUUGCCGCCUCCUAGACUUCUUGGAGAUUGUGGAGUUGUUGAGCCCUUCAAGAAAUAUUGUGAAGGAGCCCCGGCUAUUCUUUGUGAGAGGUUUGUGCUUAUCUCGCCGGAGCGGUGAAGAGCAAUACUAGUUGAAUCGAGGUUUGAAGAGAUCCUUUGAUUCAAGCUGGCUCAAACAUCAAGCGGUGCCUUGAUAGAGGAGCGGUUGAAGCAUUGAAUCCACCUCAAUGUGGAUUAGGGGUGACUGGCAAGUCAUCGAUACCACGGGAAAAUUUCGUCUCUUGUGUUCGGUUCUUUGUUCGCUCAAUUUCAUUAUUGCAAUUUACUUUGAGCAAUUACAUUCUUAGAGAUUGAAUUAUUCCUUAUCACCCUAGGUUGCAAACCCUCACAUAGUUGUAAAGUAGCUAGAAAUAGUUUUCAUCUUGUGUUACUAAUUAAAUUUAUUUAGUGUUGUGACUUUAGUUUAAACCGCCUAUUCACCCUCCUCUAGUCGGUAUCCUAGAUCCUACAGAAGGAGGUGGGGACAAUGACAGUUUCUUCUUUCAGGUGGGUGUUCAGCUCGCUUAUUUCCAUGGGAGCAACGGCGUGUGACAGCCGCGGCGGCGGAAAGGGUGGCGGCGGCGGAGGUGACGGAGGCGGAGGCGGUAGAGGUGGCGGUGGAGGCAGUGGAGGCGGUGGCGAUGGGGACGACGGUGGUGUUUGAGCACGAUGUCCGGGAGCCCUGCACUCCCUCACACGGUGCCCCGAGCGGUGGCAAUGAAGAUAGCGGACAGGGUCCCGGCAGGAGGCGACACGGUGGACCCUUGCAAGACACCUGAAGCAACGUCCCUCGGUGGCCCGGUGGAAUGCUUGGCGAGCGCCAGUGGUUGGCCUCCUUGAAUCGGCCUCUCCACGGAGCUUUGAAAGCACAUCGCAUCGACCGUCGCGCCGCGGCAAGGUGGCACGCUCGCGCCAAGCCUUGGAGCCACAGCACCGUGCUGGAGUCCACCCAUCAUCCUGCACAAGCUUGCCAUCACGUCGCGGUGGGCUGGCACCUCUACUCUGUGUUGAAUGGCCACAACGUGUGUUGAAUGGCCACGGCGCCGUGCAGGGGGUCCCCUAUCGACUAGCGUGGGCGUGGUACGGCGGAUCCACUCCCUGGGGCACCUCAUCCUUGUCGGAUCGAUAGAGUAAAUGUGCUCCCUUAUGGGGGGGGUGGGGAUUGAAUGCUGUGGGGAGAGGCUGCUGCGUAGGUUGGUGGGGAGGAGUGAAGGCACCGCGCUGGACGACUUCCGCAUAGGAAGGAACUGUAUCAGGCGUUGCAGGGGUGCAGGGGUUGGAUCUGGUGUUGCAAGGACCUAGUCAAUAUCGUCGUGUCAUGGCCGGCCAUGGCGUGGGGACGGUGAAGGUGUGUCAAGGAAGAAGUUUUCCCAGGCGCUUGCGCUCUUCCUUGGGGUGGAGGAAGUCGUCGGGGAGGGGAUCUAGGUAGUGUGGAUCUAAGCGGGUGGGUGGCGGCGGAGGAGGCGAGGGGAGGUGGCCGGAUAUGGAUCCACCGGUGGAUGGCCACGCGGUAGAGGGUAGGAUUGGGAGGUCUAUCUUUUUGAUAAGUGGUUAAUCGAUCACCAGAAGAUCUUCCCAAAACUUCCUAAGAAGAUAUUUUUUUAUUUGAUUUAGCAUUAUUCAACAAGAAAAAAAAUAAAAUUUUUGACAAAUUCUUUUUUUUGAUAAUUAUGCGGCGGACGGACACUAAGAUGGAAUAGGCCCGCUAAUAUGCCUAAUGUACCCGCAACAAUAUGAUGCAAAGCUAUUCCUCCCGGAAUGAGAGGAUCAAAACCUGCUGCACCCCACGCAGGAGAUUGUAAAUUUUGAAACUUUAGUAUUUCUUUUUCUUCCGUACAAGAUAGUUGCCCUAGCAAAAGUGUUAGGCACCCUUCAAAUAAGAAUCCAUUUUCUAACUGGCUUUCGUGCUUUGGUGAGUCGUCCAAGAUCCUUUCGGUGACAUAGUACGAAUUAACCCUUUGUUCUUUUUUUCUUUUUAAGUAUACCCUUCCCCGGGAAAGAACAAUAGGACAAAAGAUAUGGAAUGCAAUAGAAAAUAGGAUAAAAGAUAUGGAAUGCAAUAGAAAAAAGGAUCCUAGCUUUCGUCUCUCAGUGUCAGUGUCGGCCCAGCAGAGUGCUUUCGCCGUUGGUGUUCUUUCCGAUCUCAAUGGACUACUUAACUGGAGGAUUCACUGCAAAUAUUAGCUUGUCUCAUUAUUGCCGCGACAACGGCCUACUUACUCACAUUCACCGAGCAAUGCAUGCAAUUAUUGAUACACAAAAAAAAUCAUGGUAUGCAUUUCCGUGUAUUAGCUAAAGUAGGAAGGACAGGUUGUUCCAGCUAGAUACCGUCAAAAAUUCCUGUGGGGGCAUCUUACUUGACCUGAUCCAUGUCGUGUUACGCGGCUCCUAAGAAAAUUCCCGUAACUCUACCUACGUCGGAUCCCGCUUCCGUUUUCCCCAUCUAUUGAUGGGUUGUUAACGAGUGUUUCCCCCAAAUGGUUUCACCGGUAAUAAAAGGUCAGGUAAUAAAAGGUAAAAAAAACCAAGUUCACCUCACUUUCAAUUUAUUUUUCACUCUGUUUGCAAAACGUGCAAACAGAGAAGUUUCCUUAGUUUAUGAAAAGUAGGUAAAGCGGAACUGUGGAAGUCGGUAAAAACCCUCUCAAAUAGGCUUUUUGGUUCACAUAUCAUAAUCGCAUUUCUUUAUCCUAGUUAUGACUUUGAUAUUUUUCGAGAUUUUAUAGCAUGUUAAUUUAUACUUAUUGCAGAUGGCCUUUCUACGUAAAGGAGAUAUGCAAUAGCCCCUAUGUGAGAUUUUGGUAAUCUUUAUCAAAAUUAAAUCAAUUUCCUUGUAAUUAGUCCAAUAAAGUAUUAUAAAUAUCAGGAUUUCUUUAAAAAAGAACAUAGGAUACCAUGAACCAAUGCUUGAAACUUUGGUCAUAAAACUAACCUAAAAUUUGAGAAUGUCAUGUUCUUUUUUUUUCUGAAACUGAGAAUGUCAAUUCUUAGCGUCAUUACAUUUGAAAAAUCUAAGGUCGGCUUGUCACACGUCAGGCCAACGAAGAGGUUGUUUUCUCCAGCUGCAAUUGGCCCAAGUAACUGCGUACAGGCCCACCAAAUCAACUACAGUUGGGCCGAACCGGUAGCAAAAAUCGAAACGGACAAGUUUCCAAAGAAAAAGGAAACCGUGUGCGUACAACUAACGCGUACGCGUAUGCGUAUGGGUACAGGCCAUAUACAGCUUUCGAUCCCCCGCGUACGGAAUACGCUCUCGCUCCCCUGUCUUUCUCGCCAGAUCAGAUCGGAAAUUCCAAAGCAAGCUUUUCGUCAGCGAUUCGCCGAGACCCAUCCAACGCCGCCGCCAUGUCCGCCGCCGUCGCCGCCCCCGUCCUGCGCGAGGACGACCGGGGGAUCCCACGAUCCCUCCCCCUCCUCGCGGCGCUCGUAGAGGCGGAGUCCCGCCGUUUCGCCGCCGCCGCCUCCCGUCCCGCCGAGACCGGCCUCGUCCGCGCCUUCCGCGGCGGCGCCGCCCCGAAGGUCCCGAUCCGCAUCUUCAUGGAGCGGAUCCACCUGCUGACCCGGUCGGUGCCGACCUCCCGGGGCAUGACCAGGAUCGACGGCACCAGCUUCGUGCUCGCCGGGAUCUACUUGACUCGCUUCAUCCGCAGCCCCGCCGGCAGGGAGGCGGGGAUCCUGGUGGAGCCAGCCACCGCGCACCGCCUGGUUGCCGUCGCGCUCUUCCUUGGCGCCAAGUUCGGCGGCCACCCGCCCAGGAAGUGGAUUGGGGUGUUCCAGGCCAGCUCGGAAGGCGCGAUCCGUGCCGGCGAGAUGGUGGGCCUCGAGGGCCGCUUCCUGCCUGCAAUCGACUUUCGCCUGUUCGUAGAGACCUGGGAGUUCGAUUCCUUCUGCCUUGUGCUGGAGCGGGGGCCUCGGGCACCAAGGGGCGGCAGCGGUAGCGUUGGCUGCGCCAGCAAGAAGAGGCAGGCGGACGCCACGGUCGGAGAGGAUGAGCGCCGCCGCGUCCGAGCUCGCCUGCCGCCACCUGCCGUCUUCUCCAAUUAGGAUUUGUUUUCAAUUUGAAGUUUCGCCUUCAAUUCGCUUAUUAUUUCUUUUAGUUGCUUUUGAUUGUUCGUCUAUCUAUUUUUGCUGCAGGUACAAGGCUAGGAGUAGAAGUGUUCGAGGUGGAGAAGGCGUUGUCCAGUGUCCGAUCAGGGAUCAGCUUCUCCUUGCUGGAGCCUGGAGGAGAGCCUGGUGUAGGAUGCGUCGUCCCGCUUCGGAUCAUGGAUGACCUCCUGCUCGUCGCCAGAGCCUGGAGGGUAGUCAACAGAUCUUAGUUUUAGCCAAGGUUGUUAAAGCGAUUGCUGGCUCACUGAAAGAGUUCUCUAGUACUGGGUUUUCCAGCUUUGGAGUCAAUAAAAAGGGCACAAUAUGGUGUUCUGUACUCUGAAGUUUCAGUGUUUAGUCUGUUUGAGCUACUGCAACUCAGUGAAUGAGUAUACUAUCCUUCAGUUCUGCCAGAUGUUAUCAGUUAAUAGGUCACAUUGCCUUUUGUAUUAUUGCAGUAGAUUAGGCAAUUUACUUGUGAUUAGGAUGUGUUUCUUCAGUGCUCGAUUUUGGUGUGAUUCUUCUCUUCUGUGUAAGACUUUCUCAGAUCAAUAAAAGGGAUAAUAAAGUGUCAGACUUUUGUCAUGAAAUGUCCAAUUUUCACCCUCUGAAGUCUGAUUUUCAACCUAUAACUACAAAAGUGGACAGGGACAACCAUCCAAUCGGCAAAUUUGGCCCUUUGGUGGUUUCGAGGGUGGUUUUCCAUUUUCUAGAAAUUUUAAAAGUUUUGACUUAAUCAAAAAAUUCAUAACUAAUUCAUUUCAAAUCCAAAAAAUAUGAAGUUGGUACAAAAAAUUUCUAAAAUUGUAGGCUAUUUGUCUGUGGGGGGAGAUGUGUCUACUGAUGCAAGAACUAGCGAGGAAACAAAUAAUGAUCCGCUCAAAUAGAAAUAGGAAAAUAGAAAUAGGAAACAGUAUCAGGUAAAGAAUUAGAACAAACGGAAGAACAUAAGCAGCUUUGCAAUGGUCAUUGUAGCCUCUCAGGAUUAAUCCUCCAUGAAGGCAUGAACCAUGACUCAUCGUCUGAUUCCCCUCGAUAUUUGAGCAGUAUAUGCUUACAGAUUCGCACUGCAGUUGUGCAGCAUGUCAGGAUGCCACUUUGAGCAGCAUGUUUGUUCAUCAAAUUUUCAGUCUCCUUUUGAUUUGCAUGUCUGUCUUCAAACGCAUAUUGAGGUAGGGGAUUCUAAAUCUGACAUUCCGACUAUCUGAGAGCACACUCAAGUUAACUACCAGGUCUCCGCCAGCCCAAAUGUGUAGCCUCUGUUUCUAUGUUCCCUCUGACAGUUUAGCUGAAAAUGGAUAGUUAGGAAAAACAUUAUCUUGACGUACUGAAAGGCAACCAUCUACUUUAUUUACAAUGUCCACCCUCUCUGUGACCAUGUUUCCAAUAUGCCUUAACAAUAUCUGGUCCGAAAAAGAAAAGGCAGUGCUAGUGGCAAAAAUUAGGAAGUAUCAUCAUUAAAUAUUUACUGUUCAUAGCACAGGUCCCUGAACUAUAUAUAGUACUAAAUAAAUUAUGACUCUUGUGGCCUUGCCUAUACUAUUCUAGAACAAAGGAGUGUUCUCAAAAUACUUAAAUUUACUUCUAUUUGAGUUUGGCUCCAAUCAUUUUGACUGUAUUUGACAUUAAGAGUUAACUGUGUAUUAAGAGUCCUUUUGAUAUUUCAGGGAAUAAGAUAUUUGCUAAUAUUCUGGACUGUUCAUAUGUCUUUACCAUGUUACCCAGGAAAUGGCUCCAUUUACUUAUAGAUGGCACUUUGAGCAGCAUGUUUGUUCUUCAAAAUCCCAAUGUCUCUCAUUUUGAUUGUCAUUUUUGAAAAGACGCAAUGCGUAAUCAUCACCAUGCCAUGAGCCAUGUAUCUGCUAUGCAGGCGCCUGUUUUCAAACGCAUAUUCAGACAGGGAAUUCUUGUGGAUCAGUAUUUGUAUUUAUGGUGGGGGUACCAGCAAGUUCUCCCUCUCUAAGAAAAUCUGAGAGCACACUCAAGUUAGUGGCCAAGACUCAUAAAAGAUGUAGUCUCUGUUUCUAUGUUUAGUCUGUUUUUUUUUGGGCGAAAGUCUAUGUUUACACUCUGACUUAUGAAAAUGGAUAGUUAGGAAAAAUAUCAUAAAACAUCAUUCUUAUGCACUGAAAGGCAAUCAUCAAUUUUUAUUUACAAUGCCCAUCCUCUCUGUGACCAUGUUUCCAGUAUGCCUUAACAAUAUCUGGCCCAAAAAAGAAACAAUAGUGCUGGCGGCAUAAAUUUGGAGGUAUCUUUUUUCUAUCAAAUCAACAAUCUACUAUUCAAAUCCCGGACUACAUAAGAUUAAAUAAAUUAAUGAUUCUUUCCUAUACUGAUCUAGAGUAAAGAUGUGUUCCCAGAUUAUUUAAAUUUACUUUUUUUAGAAUCCGGGCUAAUCAUUUUGACUGAAUUUGACAUUAAGAGUUGACUGUAUAUUGCCAAGUUGACUUGUGAUAUUGGUUAGCAUUCGAGAUUCUUGUACUAUUUACCACAUAGCUAUUUUUGCUAAAAUUUGCCCCUGGUUGCUUGGCAAUUUAGAUUUCUGGUACUUCUGUGAGGUGGGUAUCAUGCUCAGUCGUGUGGACAGCAUGCAAGAAUCAAGUGUUAAUCUUAGUUCUACCUCUAUCUUGUAGAUGCCAUUUUGACAAUACUGCAAUUUGUUUUCAAUUACAUACUAAAGUGUGUUCACAUCUCAUCUGCAUUUAGUCAAACAAUAAAUACAUUGUACCAAAAGCCUGUAUAUAUCCUAUUUUUCUUGCGAUUAUGGAUAUGAAGCCCUCCUAAUAUCUGCUCAUUUCACAGUUGACAUGAGCAGUAGUUAGGCCUACCAUUGGGAAGGGUAUGGGCAAACCCACUCUUAUUUACGUCCAAAUCCAAAUAAUUAUUAUCCACUCCUUACCCUCCUCAAUCCCACCCAUAUCCAAUGGAUAAUUAACAUUGUACUACAUAUAUAUACAUAUCCAAUUGAUUAAUCAUAUCCGCCCCAUAUCCUACCCUCCCCAUUUGUAAUGAGUAUAUAAUUUUCUACUCGUACCCUCCCCAUUUGAAUUGGGUGUGAAUUUAGGGAGAGAGUAUGAUACCCAGUGGCAGGCCUAACUGUUGUUUGUCCUCCUUCCCUACAAGACCCUUCUUGAGUCUUGACAUUGUUUUUAGUAUCAUUAGUAUUCAGUUUUGACAGUCAAAUCUUUGAGCUAUUAUUACAUCAAAGUUUAAAGAUACAUCCUGUUGGCGCUAGAAAUCGGUCAACCGAAUCCCAACGACCGACACACGACCCGGGAGAAUCUGCUUAGCUCCUGUUCGGGUGAAUGCCCUGGUGCGGUUCACGCGGCGUGCCAGCCAAUCUGACCUGUUGAUUGGCAAGGAAGAAUACGUGUCAGGUUCAGAAUUCUCGAUCGGCUAUGUUCCGAUUUCGAGAGAAUUUAUCAGCGAAUCGGCCGAUUUACUGUAAUACUGAAAUCGGCUAUGAGACAGCCUGAUCUCUGUAGCUUUGUAGACAGGAAACUGCUAAAGUAAUCGGUACAAAACUUAUGAUAACAACACUAGGAACAGAUCUAAUCGGCAAUAAAUGGAUCUAACGAUAGAAGAUAAAGAAAGCCGAUACUACCGAUUCCUAGCUGGAUAACUGGUGAUAAAGACUAGAAAAACAGGUAAAAACCUAUGAAUCUAGCAAAUAUCGAUAACUAGUGAAUAAAUCUAAACGAAACAACAGCGAUACGCCCGAAGUUAAAGCUUAGAUGUUACUCGAUAAGCGGAACUUACAGAAUCGGCUGGAGAUCAAGAUGAUGCAGCCCCGCCAACCCGCACGAACUCGUGAGAAGAGAAAACUAAUGGCGAAGUCGCCUGCUUGAAAAUAAGUACGAAGAAAAAGUAGCUUGUUGUAUUGAUUGGUUGAUGGUUACAGAUUUACAAAGGUAGCUAUUUAUAGCCCCGUACAGAUAUCUCCUUAACCGACUAGAAUUCUAUCCCUAAUUCAAACAGAAAACAAAUAUCUACAAGCAUAAUUCGUGCUAGGUUGGUUACUCCACGCUUCGUGGGCUGAUUUCCCCCUUAUCCUUCUAUUCCUCUCCAAGCCCAUACAUGCCCAAUUAGCCCAUCCUCCUAAUCGGCCGAUUCCUUAUCGGCAAAAGAUUACCGAUUGGGACUCUGGUAUAUUCGACCCAUAGCGAGACAGAGGUCUCCGGCCGAUCUCACACUGUAGCACCAUUUGGCCGAUUCCCAACUGUGCUUCUCCGAUUCCCUUUCUUCUUGGCGCCGAUUCUACUAGUAAUGAAAUCUGGCGUCAACACAUGCCCCCCAGUUUCGGAGUAAAACAUAGUCUUUUACUUCGAAAUUCUUUAUAACUUCCUCUCCGAAACGGCCGCAGAGAAAACAUCCUUCCGUUUCGCGGUCUUCCAGCUGAUCAUUGCAAUUUUUUCGAAACGGGCGCCCACGACAGCCACUACCCCCGAAAAACUCGAAACGCCGGCGCGGUGAAAAUUCCAGUUUUACCCCCCUUUUAGGCAUCCUUUAAAUAGCGCUUCACCCGCACCUCAUCUUCAAGCUCACGUCCUUUUUCCCAGCGCGCGCGACUUCUUCUUCCUUCAGCACCUUUCCCUUGCCGCCAAAGCUUUCUAGUUUCACCUCCUAUUACUCCUCCCUCUUUUCUUCCAAUGGCGGCGCCUUCCGGCAGCUCUCCCGCCCGCGAUGCCCCAGAGAUAGCGCCUCCGGUGGUGGUAGCGACGAUCGUCACCCCUUCCACAGAUGAAGGAGCUUCAUCAGAGAUCCCAAUGGCAAUCCCCAUUGCGGCCCCGUCGUCCGCAUCCGCAUCGGCGACCACACCGAUUACUCAGAACUUCAUCCCAGAGGUAAAUACCGAAUCCUUCUCCUAUCGGCAAUGUAUUUACCUUAGAUCUGUUUCUUAUAUUUCCAUACUCCCUUUCUUUUUUAGGCAGUUAGGCAUAGAAUUACCAUUCACCUCACGGGAAGCCCCGACCUUAUUUGUCUCGGUCCUAUGGGAAACCCAGAUCCAACAGAUCUCAUAAAUUUGGAAACCGACCGGAUACCCUUCAAACGGUCCGACAUGAACCUAGAUCACUGGGUGGGUACUUUUAGAUCCUGGCCGAAUGAAACCCCAGGUUGGAGGGAGUGGUACCAACGGAUGGCUGCAUCAAGGAGCGUCUCAUUGGAAGAGCUCAAAAUCAGCCAGUGCAUCAACCUCUCCUUAUCUCAGAUGGAGAAAAAUGAACCGUUAGUGAUGGCGGCUUCUUAUUUUUGGUCUGAUGCACUUAAUGCAUUCUUAUUUGGGCACGGUCCUAUGACCCCCACACUGGCCGAUGUAGCUCUGUUGACCGGCCUUGACAUAUCCUCCCCAGAUACACCCUUCCACCUUUUAGCCACAACGUCACAUCGGCUGGAUACAAGGGGAAUCGGCGGGUGGAAGGGUUUCAUCAGAAGUAAUAAGAGAACCGGGACCGUUGAGAACAGGGAGCACACGGCUUUCCUGAUGAUGUGGCUAGAAAAACACUUCUUUUGCGGAAGAGCUGCCGGCCCAACAACCAACACCCAAGCUUUAGCUGAAGCACUGUCCAAAGGAAGCCAUAUCCCCCUCGGGAAACAUCUGUUAGGGGCUGUAUACCAUAUGCUCCAUCAAAUCGGCACAAGACUUUCCAAGGGAGAACCGAUCAGUAACCAAGGCGGGCCUUGGUGGUUCGUCAAUCUGUGGCUGAACCUUUAUAUGAGCAGAAUCACCCAGCAGCCGGUGGACCAUAUGACGUUCCCUAACAUCGAAUCGGCAGAGGACCCCACCGAACGUCGCCGAUGCAUGUCUUUUGGCGAAGCGGCGUCAGCUUUUCCAGGUUGCGCGUAUUCUGCUACAAAGGUAGCUGAGUAUUUUCGAUGCUUCUAUAACGGAUUUAAUGAAGCUGCAACCAUUUGGUUUCCGUAUCAGCGAGACGACCCGAUCUUUGAGCUUCCCACUUGCUUCAAUUCGGCUUCCGGCCGAUUUGAUGAAGAUCUCUAUGAAGGGUUGAUCAAACCGGGACUCCUACCGGCCAACUUCUUUUCAGGGAAGGAUGCCCCUACAUACGAAUUCUACAACCCUUCCGUUGCAGCACGACAAUUCGGCAUGGGUCAGUUGCCGAUUCAAGUGUACUUCGCUGGCAGAAUCAAGUUUAGAGAUGAGCUCACAUCUGGCCUGGACUACGGUCGGUUGCGAGACCGAAUUCCGGAUUCCAGUACAAUUAACUUGAACGACUGGCUAGUAGCUCCAUUUGCUGUCCAGCCGUUCAAGCUCUGGUGGGCCGAAUGGAAACAAUUUCUCUUCUGCAACUCAGCAUCGGCAUACUGCAAUCUUCUGGACCCGGCCAACAUUGACCCAAACGCCGAGGUACUUCACAUAACCGAUUUUUAUUCCUUUUUAUUCCUCCUAACAUGAUUGAGUACUAAUGAUUUUAUUAUUUCUUUAGGCCGAGAAUCGGACCCCUCCAACACACAGCCGCAGCGGACGGCUAAUAGAGAGUCAUCCAUACACUACUUAUCCCCUUAUCAGCCAUGACGCCCCGUCUGUUGACGUGAUUGCUGGCCGAUCGAAACAAGUUCAUAAGAGGACCACUAAAAAGACCAGUCGCCGAGUCCGGGCUCGUACGGAAUCGGCGGAUCCUCCUGUGCUCGCAUCGGCAGAAACUUCGACCGCACCACCUUCUCAGGUCUUUCAAGGUGUCGAUACUCAAACCAUCACGCAAGCUGGGGCGGCCGCCGCGUCGUUAUUGUUGGAAGCCAUACAGGUAAACCGGAGUUUUACUGCCUCCGAUUGUUAUGUUGAUAUUAACCCUUUUUUAACCUUAAACUGCACAGAGCAUUCCUACGGAAAUACAACAAUCGGCAGCAGCUCCACCAGCCAUUGAUGCGCCCCCACUCCCAUCCGUUGAGGUAUAGAACUUGUCUUACCGAUUUCCUUUGGGUAUUUACGUAAUGUACUUAUUCAAACCUCUGACACAGGCCAUCGGCACAUCAAUCGCUUCUCGACCGCCGAUUUCUUCUCAGGGGGCUGGUCCAAGCACCGCGCCGAUUAUUGUGGAGUCUUCUUCAUCUGAUGAACCCAUGGCGCGGGCCCCUGAGCAAGGCAUGACGGCUUCACAAGUGCAACAUGAGGAAAUUCGCUUCAAAAUGGUAAGUUUCUGUUUCGGCUUCUACCUAGCCGAUUUGAUCUUACUUCCAGCCGAUUUAUUUCCUUUCUUUAUUAUCUCCAGGAACAGGACACCCCCGACAACAGCCUCUUUUCUUUUGCGGUCGCCCUUUCUGACGACGAAGAGGUUGCUUCUCGCCAAGUCGCCUUGAGUUCCGUUCCUGAUGACGUCCGAGCCAAACUUUCCAGCAUCCGAUCCCUCCUUCAAGGGGACAUCGGCCGACUAGUAGAAGACGCUUCACCGAUUCGGCAGCUCUUCAAUGACGUCAGCGGACGAGUACCAGAAGAGGCGGAGGAGGCCCUGGCGCCGGCGGCCUUCAUCGAGUCCAUGAGGAUCCCAGUCUUCAGAGCCCUUCGUCACAUGGCCGAUCGCGCCAAGCUGACCAAGACUCGCGAAGAGGAAGACGCUUUCAAGCGUCAGGCUCAAGAGGCGCAUCGGCGUAUCCAUGUUCUAGAAGAUUCCCGCCCGGCGAUCAUAGGUGAGAUAGACCGCCUCAAGCGUCGGAGGGCGGAGUUUGCCAAGGAAAUGGAGCAAGUGACCAAGGCAAUCAGUGCCGAAGAGAACAAACUCCAAGAGCUACCCUCUGUUAUUGCCGAUUUGACACGGGAGAGGCAGCGCUUUGCUCAUGAGGCCCUGAGACUCCAUCGCAGCGCAUCGGAGGUCCCUGGAUCGGCGGAAGAAGACCAACGGAUUCUUGACUCUGCCGAUCAGAUCCGGCGUCGGGCCAUCACGGCUAUCGAUACCCUUCUGGGUAACCUGUAAAACACUGACCGUUUUGCACGAACAUUUACUAGCUUCUUUGACCGUUUCUCGCGACCCCCUUUCUAUUUAUUGCCUUUCUUAUUACCGAUGGGACGUGGCCUUACCAAAUUUCCACGCAUCUUUUUCCAUAAAUACCGACCUCAGCGUUUACCCCUGAUAGUACCAAUUUGGCCUUCGGCUUACUCUCCUCUUCUUUUCAUCGGUGCGAUUCCUUGUCAUGGCUUCGCCGGUUUCUUCUUCUUUUGUCAACCAGGUGAAAUCUUGGCCUCGACUCCCUUUCUUUUUAGAUCUUAGGAAGGGAACUCCUUCUUACUCCUUUUUGUUUUAGCCUCAACGUCUUAGUCCUGAGCUCGUGCGCGCCAUUGAGCUUAUCCAUUCUGAGGACCCACUGACGCCGGAGGACCAAAAGCUGAUCAUGGCUCAUCGUGAGGAGCUUCGAGAUCACGUCACCGCGGAGGCUCGUGUAGUCCUGGACUUUGUGGAGAGCAACGGUCGCCGGCGACCUCCAAUCGACAGGAGUCAUCCGCUUCCUCCGCGAGUCGUCCUUGAGGACACGGCAGCAGGAACUUCGCGCCCGGCCAUGGAUCGGAGCCACCCUCUCCCGCGUCAAGUUGAAGCGGAGGCUUCAAUGAAAGAAAUAGAAGAAGAAUACCUCCGUCUCAUGAUAGAAUUAGGUCGGACUGAGAGGGAGCACAAGAAGAAGAAUAAUUAGUCAUUGUAUUUUUGUAUUUUUUGUUCUCAGGGCGACUAACGUUUUGUCGGCCAUGUAACCCGUCGCCCGUACCGAAUGAAUGCAAUCGGUCGAUCCGGUCGACUAUGUUUUUGAAUCGAUUUGCGUCGGUUACAUGUUUGAACCGACUCGUAUCGGCUAAGUGUUCGAACCGAUUUGUAUCGGCUAUGUGUAGUUGUGUCGUGGUUAAUUCCUACGCCCCGACCCAUAUACUGGGGUAAUAUCUCUUUAAGUACCUUCCGUUCAGAGCUCUAGUAAAUUCCUCUCCUUCUAUCGUUUCCAAAAUGUAAGCAUUUCCUGGAGCGCAUCUGCCGAUUUUAUACGGCCCUUCCCAGGUAGGGGACCAUUUCCCGAAUUUAGGAUCUUUCGACCCGAUCGGCAACACUAACUUCCAUACCAAGUCUCCGGGGAAGAACUGUUUGACUUUGACUUUCUUAUCGUACCACCUGGCUACUCUCUUUUUAUUUUCUUCAAUGCUUAUCAGGGCCCUCAAUCGUUGGCUAGCCAAAUCGUCAAGUUCCCUUUUCAUGAGUGAUGAGUAGUCAUCGGCAGAUAACUGGUCCUGGAGCGAAAUACGCCUCGAUCCUGCCCUUGAUUCCCAUGGUAGUACUGCAUCGUGGCCGUACACCAACUGGUAGGGAGACAGUUUGGUAGCCCCAUGACCAGCCAUCCUGUAUGCGCACAGUGCCUCAGUCAAACACAGAUGCCACUUCUUUGGCUGUUCUUCAAUUUUUCUUUUGAUCAAUUUGAUUAUCCCUUUAUUGGAGGAUUCUGCCUGACCAUUGGCUUGGGCGUAAUACGGAGAAGAAUUUAACAAUUUGAUUCCCAUAUCGGUUGUAAAUUCCUCGAACUCCCCCGAUGUGAACAUUGUUCCCUGAUCGGUCGUAAUAGUCUGGGGAAUACCGAAUCGGUAGACGAUGUGGUCCCUUACGAAAUCGGCCAUGAUAGCCGAUGUUACGGCUCUUAACGGGAUUGCCUCGACCCAUUUGGUAAAGUAAUCGGUGGCCACCAGAAUAAAUUUGUGCCCUUUGCUUGAUGGUGGGUAAAUUUGGCCGAUAAGAUCUAUUCCCCAUCCCCUGAACGGCCAUGGUUUAAUGAUGGGAUUCAUGGCCGAUGCGGGUGCCCGCUGGACAUUUCCAAACUUUUGACAUUCCUGACAACCCUUAUAAUAUUUGAAACAGUCUUCGAGGAUCGUAGGCCAAUAGUACCCGUUGUUCCUGAUCAUCCAUUUCAUCUUGUGUGCCGAUUGGUGUGCUCCACAUACCCCUUCAUGGAUUUCUCCCAUUAGAGUCUUGGCCUCUUCUGUCCCAAGGCAUUUAAGAAGGACCCCGUCGAUCGUUCGGUAAAACAGAUCAUCUUCGAGUAAUACGUAUUUGGUGGCAUGAAAGCGUACUCGUCGCUCCACCUUCUUAGACGGAUCCUUUAUGUAAUCGGCAAUUUCUUUACGCCAAUCGUCGGCUGCGAGUUCUAAAGCCAUAGCGCCCAGAAUCGGCUGAUACCCAGAUGCGUGCUGGGCGAGCCUGUUUGCUUCUUCGUUGCGGUCCCUUGGGACAUGCCCGAUUACUGCCGAUCUGAAUUCUUUUAAAAGCUGUAUGCAAUCUUUGUGAUAAAUCCUUAACACGUCAUCUUUGCACUCAGCCCUUCCGGUCAAUUGAUCCACAAUAAGCAUAGAAUCUCCGAAGAUUUCGACGGAAUCGGCCUUGACUUCUCUCAAUAAUUGUAUCCCUUUUAAUACAGCUCUGUACUCCGCUUGAUUAUUUGUAGCGGCGGUUUCAAUCGGCAGAGAAAAAUCAUAGCUUGCCCCCCGAGGCGAUAUGAGAACGAUGCCGAUUCCUGAUCCGACCCCGCAUGACGACCCGUCGAAAAAUAAUCGCAAAGGCGCCAGCUCUACGAGGGCGAUCUCCGGUCCACAGUGCUGGGCGACGAAAUCGGCCAUGACUUGACCCUUGACGGCUUUUGCUGAUUCGUACCGCAGGUCAAAUUCCGAUAAAGCUAAGAUCCAUUUACCGAUUCGUCCUUUUAGUAUCGGCAGUGAUAGCAUGUAUUUUACUACGUCGUCCUUGCAUACGACUACACAUUCUGCCGACAGUAGAUAGUGCCUGAGUUUAGUGCAUGAGAAGUAAAGACAUAAGCACAAACGUUCCACCGGGGGAUAUCUUGUUUCAGCGUCCAGGAGUCUUCUACUGACGUAAUAAAUUACCCGCUCUUUGCCUUCAAACUCUUGGACCAGAGCCGACCCAAUAGCUUUUCCAUCGGCUGAUAAAUACAGUUUAAACGGCUUACCAGCUUGAGGGGGAACCAAGACUGGCGGUGAGACCAAGUAUUGCUUGAUAUCUUCUAACGCCUUGCGCUGUUCUUCUCCCCAUAUAAAUUCCUGGUCUGGCUUCAACUUCAGAAGUGGCGUGAACGCUUGAAUCCGUCUGGAUAGAUUAGAUAUAAAUCUUCUGAUGAAGUUUACCUUGCCGAUUAGAGACUGUAGCUCAGUUUUGUUCUGUGGGGCCACGACUUUGUUGAUGGCCGCUAUGGUCUUCUGAUUGAUUUCUAUACCUCGUUCGUGCACCAUGAAUCCUAAGAACUGUCCGGCGGAGACGCCGAAAGCGCAUUUGUUGGGAUUCAUCUUAAGACCGUGCUUUUUGGUACACUCUAGCACCCUUCGCAAAUCGGCUAGAUGUUCCUCGUGGCUUUUGGACUUGACCACGACAUCAUCGAUGUAGAUUUCUACCAGGAGGCCAAUGAGUUUGUGAAAAAUGUAAUUCAUAGCUCUCUGAUAUGUAGCGCCAGCAUUCUUCAAGCCGAAAGUCAUCACUACCUAUUCGAAUAAACCAAGAUGGCCUAGACAUCUGAAGGCCGUUUUGGGUAUAUCCUCUUCGGCCAUAAGUAUUUGAUUGUAUCCGGCGUUUCCGUCCAUGAAGCUAAUAAUUUUAUGUCCCGCGGCGGCGUCGAUCAGUACAUCGGCCGUAGGCAUGGGAUAGCCAUCCAUCGGUGUGGCCUGAUUAAGAUUCCUGAAAUCAACGCAAACGCGUAACUUCCCAUUUUUCUUGUAUACCGGCACGAUAUUGGAAAUCCACUCGGCAUAACGACAUUGCCGAAUAAAUUUUGCUUCGAUUAGCCGAGUUAUUUCAGCUUUUAUGUCUGGUAAAAUUUUAGGAUUGCAACGCCGUGCGGGUUGUUGGUACGGCCGAUACCCCGGUUUUAUGGGUAGCCGGUGCUCAACAAUAGAUCGGUCUAAACCAGGCAUCUCGUGAUACUCCCAAGCAAAACAAUCCUUGAAUUCCCUUAACAAAUUUGUUAGUUUACAUUUGUACUCUGGAUCUAAAUUUGCACUAAUAAAAGUCGGCCUUGGUUUGGCUCCAUCACCUAAGUCUAUCAUUUCUAAUGAAUCGGCCGACGUGAAUCCGUGCCCUAGCUUCCCGUCUUCUCGGGCGAACUGAUCCAUCUAAUCUGAGUCUUCGGAGCCGACUGCUCGGAUCGGCUGUAGGCCAAAAUCGGUGACCUUCAGGAAAUCGGUCUCCCACACCCUACCUGAUAUGCACCUGACGGUUUCGCAGCUCCACUACUGCGUGUCGGCUGCUGCAAUGCUAUACGCGGAGUCGGCUUUGACCACCUCGAUGUUAUCACCGACCCAUUGUACGAGGCACUGAUGCAUAGUUGACGGGAUGCAGCAGUUUGCGUGUAUCCAGUCUCGGCCAAGAAGCAUAUUGUAGGAUCCCUUGCCAUUAAUAACGAAAAACGUGGUAGGGAGGGUCUUACUGCCGAUGGUGAGGUCGACGCAGAGAGCACCGCGAGCGUUUGACACCUUGCCUUCGAAAUCCUUGAGCAUCAUGUCCGUCUUGGUCAGGUCGUCAUCGUUUUUCCCCAGCUUCCGGAGUACGGCGUACGGCAUAAUGUUGACAGCAGCUCCUCCGUCGACCAUCAAUCUGGUGAGGGGGCGACCGUCAACAUGCCCUUUAAGGAACAAUGCCUUCAUAUGUUGUCGUUCGUCGUCUUCGGGCUUUUCGAACGUGGCCAUCAUUGGCUCCAAAGCCAACCGCGCUGUCUGUUCUUCUAUCGCUGAUACGUCCUGUUGAUCGGCGGGGGUCAUGAACUCCAUCGGCAGUAUGAAAACCAUGCCGAUCUCGGCUGCCGAUUCAUCACCCGCCGACUCGUUGUUUCCCUUAUCGUUUCUUUUGGGGCGCCACACCCGAGGCCUCCCUUCCUUCUUGUCCGUCGCGCUUUCUUCUUCUUGCUGUUCCCAUUGGCGGAGACGUUGGAUUCUCCGUUUUUGUGACUUGGUCAAUCCGUCGGGGCACCACCUGGGGUUUAUUAGUCUCCCUUCUGUCCUGGCGCGUUCCCACUCCGGUUCGCGUCCUAACGGAUUUUCAUCCGUCACCCGAGCGUCGGCCAUUUCUUCGAGUCGGCUGUGAACGCUAGCCUUACUAUCUGACUGGUCCCGCCGAUCAGUCCUGCCCCCCUGCCUAUCAUGGCGUCUUUCUUCCGACCGAUUAUAUUGGUCACUUCUGCCCCCCAGCCGAUCACGCACGGGAGGGCGCUGGUCAUCUUGAUCGCGCCAAUCCCUGCUGAUCGGCUCUGGCCUUCCGUCCCUAGAGCGAGACCUGUUGAACGGCCGAUUGCCGCGAUAGGGACCGUUGCAUUCUGGGCAAGUGUCGGCCGAAGGUAGCCUGAGGUUAUUUUCCCAACAAUGAAUGAAAAAUGGGCAUCUCUAGUGCUCUUCGUGCCAACGCAUCGCUUCUUCUCGGGACCUUGAGCGUUCAUGCUGACGUUGGUACUUUUGGAGCAGGAACUGAGAAGUAAUGCGCGGCCCUUCUGACUCACCAUCAUCGUCCUCUAUCCGCCGCUUUCCCUUGAUAUCUUCGGACGUAGCUUGAUUUCUGGGAUCAACGGCACUACUCUUUUUGGCCGAUUCGGACGUUAGCACUUUUGUUUGGAGUGAAUUCUUCCCCGUAUCAACCAUGUUGGUAGGAAAGGGGUGCUGGUCGAUCUUCAUUGGUUUGGCCGAUUUUGCCGGCACUUCAAAUUUGAUUCUGCCUUGCUCAAUGGCUGACUGUAUCUGUUGCCUGAAGAUCUUGCACUCGUUGGUAUCAUGUGAUGUGGCAUUGUGCCACUUGCAAUACUUCAUCUUCUUUAAUUGUUCGGCAGAAGGUAUUGUAUGAUAAGGAGAGAAUUUAAUCUGUCCUUCCUGGAGGAGAAGAUCGAAGAUUUUAUCGGCCUUAGUUGUAUCAAAACCGAAUGCUUCUGGCUCCUUUUUGCCGAAUGGGCAUGAUAUCGGCUUCUUCCCCUUGAUCCAUUCCGCAAGUCCGACUUCAACAUCUUCUUCAUCCUCUAAUUCUUCCAGGAAUGCCACUUUCUUCUGGAAAUUCCUCCGCGGAUCGAAUGGACGCACCUCCUGUCCGGACAAUCGGUGAACAAUCUGGCUCAGGCUCUCGAACUCCUGUGAAGCAUAUUUUUCUUUAAUAUGUGGCAGAAGGCCUUGGAAAGCUAUAUCGGCCAAUUGCGCAUCGGUUAGAGCCAGGGAGUAGCACUUGUUUCUGAUUUCCCGAAACCUCUGUAUAUACGAGGGUAUCGGCUCAUCACUUCUUUGCCGGAGGCUAGUCAAAUCGGACAGCUUCAUCUCAUGGACCCCAGCAUAGAAGUACUUGUGGAACUGUCUUUCUAAAUCGGCCCAUGUGAUAAUCGAGUUUGGUGGCAAAGUCGUGAACCAUUGGAAGGCCGAUCCAGACAGAGAUGACGAGAACAACCGUACUCGUAGGGCAUCUUGCGUAGCUGCUUCUCUGCAUUGGAUGAUGAAUCUAUUCACGUGCUCCACGGUCGAAGUAUCAUCCAUCCCCGAAAAUUUGGUAAAAUCAGGAACUUUGUACCGAUGGGGGAACGGCAACAAAUCAUAUGUAGAUGGGUAUGGUGUUCUAUAAGUAUAAGUUUGCACUUUCGGCUUCAAGCUGAAUUGUUCUUGCAUCACCUCCGCAAUUCGUGCCGACCAAUCUGGUUGUUGCUGGUGAACUGUUGGCUGAGGUAUCGGCACGUGCUGGUAAAUUGGAGGCUGAAUAAAAGGCGAUUGAUGAAAGGGUGGCAUCUGAGUGUAAUCCGGCUGUGUAGUAAAGGACGGCUGUUUGAAUGAACCACUCGUUUCAUCACAUAGUAUGAGUGCUGCUGUCUUGUUGACCUCCGGAGCGACAGGCUGGUAUGGUGGUAUGAUCGGCCGAAUGGCCGCCUGGGAGGAUGCCUGGAACGGAGGGUUUCCUUGACUGGCCGAUUGAUUCAGAUCGGCCGUGGCUGAAGGUGCCCCCCAAGGUGAUGGGUUGACUGGAGGGAACGGUGCAGAGGACAGCUGGAUGGAGCCAUAUCCCAACGGAGUUGAUGAUGCAGAUGCGCCUGAACUCCCAACAGAAAAUUGAAUCGGCUGUGAAGCCGAAUACGGAUAAGUCUGAUUUGGUGGGACCGGCUGGAAAUAUGUAGGUCCUCUGUAUCCUUGAGGUAUGCCCCCGGCGAAGGAGUUAACAACGGCGUUGUGCACCAUGUUCGAGAGUACCGGGGAUUGGUUGAUGAAGGCGUGAUGAAUAGAUUGUUGAAUCAUAUCGGACAUUUUAUCCGAAUCUUCAGAAAUCGUGAUCUGGCGGGGAGCAGGGAAUGGGGUCUUCUUGACGGUCUCCCCGCUUCUGGAGCGACUGAAAGACUUCAGACAAGUUUUCCGGAACUGUGCCAUAUACUUGUCCAGAUCUUCCUUCUGGUCGUCCUUCAGAUCCGCUUCCGUCACCUCGAUGACGUUAUCUUCGGAGAUUUCAGCAGCUUUCGACAUGACGGCGGUUGUAUUGAUCCCACCAGGCGUGCCAAAAGUGUGUUGGCGCUAGAAAUUGGUCAACCGAAUCCCAACGACCGACACACGACCCGGGAGAAUCUGCUUAGCUCCUGUUCGGGUGAAUGCCCUGGUGCGGUUCAUGCGGCGUGCCAGCCAAUCUGACCUGUUGAUUGGCAAGGAAGAAUACGUGUCAGGUUCAGAAUUCUCGAUCGGCUAUGUUCCGAUUUCGAGAGAAUUUAUCAGCGAAUCGGCCGAUUUACUGUAAUACUGAAAUCGGCUAUGAGACAGCCUGAUCUCUGUAGCUUUGUAGACAGGAAACUGCUAAAGUAAUCGGUACAAAACUUAUGAUAACAACACAAGGAACAGAUCUAAUCGGCAAUAAAUGGAUCUAACGAUAGAAGAUAAAGAAAGCCGAUACUACCGAUUCCUAGCUGGAUAACUGGUGAUAAAGACUAGAAAAACAGGUAAAAACCUAGAAUCUAGCAAAUAUCGAUAACUAGUGAAUAAAUCUAAACGAAACAACAGCGAUACGCCCGAAGUUAAAGCUUAGAUGUUACUCGAUAAGCGGAACUUACAGAAUCGGCUGGAGAUCAAGAUGAUGCAGCCCCGCCAACCCGCACGAACUCGAUAAUGGCGAAGUCGCCUGCUUGAAAAUAAGUAUGAAGAAAAAGUAGCUUGUUGUAUUGAUUGGUUGAUGAUUACAGAUUUACAAAGGUAGCUAUUUAUAGCCCCGUACAGAUAUCUCCUUAACCGACUAGAAUUCUAUCCCUAAUUCAAACAGAAAACGAAUAUCUACAAGCAUAAUUCGUGCUAGGUUGGUUACUCCACGCUUCGUGGGCUGAUUUCCCCCUUAUCCUUCUAUUCCUCUCCAAGCCCAUACAGGCCCAAUUAGCCCAUCCUCCUAAUCGGCCGAUUCCUUAUCGGCAAAAGAUUACCGAUUGGGACUCUGGUAUAUUCGACCCAUAGCGAGACAGAGGUCUCCAGCCGAUCUCACACUGUAGCACCAUUUGGCCGAUUCCCAACUGUGCUUCUCCGAUUCCCUUUCUUCUUGGCGCCGAUUCUACUAGUAACGAAAUCUGGCGUCAACACAUCCUAAAGCUAGUUCCAAGUUCAUAAGCUAAUGACAGGCGAUUCUUUUAAACAGAAAGGCAUCAUAGUGUCUCUUCAUCCGUUAGUUGUUACUAUUUUGUUUUUUAUGCCAUGUACAACUCGACCUUGAAUUGAACUGAAUAGCCUAGUAGUUCAAAUUGACUUGUUUAGUGGAAGUGCUGAUGACUUCUGUUGAACAGUGUACUUGCACACUAUAGGUGACGCCGUGACGGUGACUUCUAUUUAACAAUGCUUGACAGAACUUCAUUUCCACAUUAAUCGAAGAAGUCCAGUUUUAACCUAUAAAUUCACGUCGCCGUCGAUGUCGAAGGUGAAAGCAUCUAAGCUCCUAACUUGUGUUUUGGUAAUUAAUGACGGUCUUAGUGGAUUAACAAUUUCUUCUUUUCUUUGAGAAUAUGGGCUUGUUUGGUUUGGGUUGCUUAUUAUAAGCAACUUAAAGUUGCUUAAAGUUACUUAUUGUAGUUGCUUAUUUUUAGCUCUAGGUGUUUGGUUUGGGUUGCUUAUCUGCAUUAAAUAAGGUUGCUAUUGACAUAUUUGCCCCUAAUAAAUACAUGCCAUCCCAUUUCAAUUAUACCCCUAAUAAUUACCCUGGCCCUUGGCACCAGAUGAAGUUGGUGCCAAUUCCAGGAGCUGUCUGGCCCUUGGCGCCAGAUGCAGUUGGCGCCAAUUCCAGUAUGUUGGCUGCCACGGUGCUGGGAGCCAAAUUUUUUAUUCAAAUCAAAUGUUGUUCAACAUUCUACAAAUAACAUCAUUACAAAACAAUAAAGCUGCGAUCUAUUGAACAGUCCAUCGGCAAUCCAAUCCCUAAAUUGGUUCAUGUCCUGAUCUUCGUCCCCGUGUUGACUAGUAUCCGCAUUGUUUUGUGACGACAAUGCGUCCGAAGGCGCCACAUAGCAUUCAUCAUGAUCCACCCUCUCAAAGUCCACAUCAGCAAGUGCACUCUCUCUAAUGAAGUUAUGAAUUGCCAUGCAAGCGAUAAUUAUGUUGCUUUGCUUUGCCAUUGGAUAUGCCGGUAAAUCACGCAAAAUACGCCAUUUUUUUUUUGAAAACUCCAAAAGACCUCUCAAUCACAUUCCUUAGUGAUGAAUGGGCAUAAUUGAAAAGCUCUUUUUUACCUCUUGGGAGUGGUCCUUGUCGAAACUCUGGGAUAUGAUAUUCCGUACCCUUGUAUGGUGAAAAAUAACCCGGUCUGUUUGGGUACCCAGAGUCCACCAGGAUAAAUUUUCCUGCACAAUCAUUUAUUUUCGUGUUAUAUUCAACCAAUGGAUAGCUAUUGUUACAAGUAUUGGAUCAUAGAAUAGGGAAGCACCUUCAGGCGGAUGAGGAAACUUGUCGCUGUACUUGAUCAAUGCAUCUUUGAAGACUCUCAUGUCAUGCACCGACCCAGGCUAUCCCGCAACAACAAAAGUAAAUCUCAUGUCGAAAUCACAUGUUGCUAAUACAUUCUGGCUGGUGUACCCAUGUCGUCCCAUAUGUUGGACAACCUUGUCCACUGGCACAACAACAGGCACAUGUGUUCCAUCUAUUGCUCCAAUGCAAUUAUCAAAGUAGGGGGAGAACCGUGGUGAUUGCAGUCUAUGAUGCACGGUACUAAAUGUUGGGUCCAAUGGUCUAAUGAUAUCACCUGCUAGCUUGCAAACACUACGCAAUACUUUCUCAAACUUUCUACUGCAUGUUUCAGUUGACCUAACAAAACGAUCCUCAGCUUGCCUCAUGCUUUGAGGGGCACCACAAAUCCACACAAACAUAGCUAAAGACUCUACUGAUGUCAUCCUCCUUGUUGACUUUAACCCAUAAGAUUGGACUAGGAUAUUGUGUAGCCUAUCAAACACAUCCCUACUCAUCCUGAACAUGUUGUAGCAAGAUGUCCUAUUUCCUAAUGUAGUUGUUGACACUGGAUUUUGACCAAUCCUAUAAAUUCGGAGUACAAGAUAAUUGGAGUCACGUACAACAAUAAGAAGCUAGCAUGCGUGUAUAUGGGCACGGAGUCCAAAUCGGCUUCUUUGGAUUGAUCGGCAAGGAGAGGCAAGGAUGAUAUAAAGGAAUGGCCAGCACGUAUGGAUAAAAAUGAUUAGAAUAUACAACAUGGAUUCUGGUGCACUUUGCAUGCCAUGCGUGGGAGGCUUCCAGAAUAAUUAUGCAUGCGGCCGAUCUGUGCAUGUACGGGAGGUUGUUUCAUAGAAUACAAUAUUUUAGAGAUAGAGUUGGGUUAGUUAGAGAUAGAGUUUUUUAUUAGAAAAGAUUGUGUACGUGACUUGCCUUGUGCGUGGUUAGAUGCCAAUUAUGUAACGUCCGCCCUAUAAAUAUAAAGGGACGUGGCCAUUGUAAAGAAUAAUCACACGAUCAAUAUACAACAUAUUUAUCUUCUAUUUACCUUUUCGGCUUCACGCCAUUGCAUUAGGAGUAGGAGUAAUGUAGCUUCUCGACGAGUUCCUCCUAGCAAGCUGGGCUGCAUCGACCUCGAUCUCCGGCGAGCUGCAAGUUCCGUCACCAGGUGUUCUAGGCUUUAACCACCGGGCGCAUCGCUGUGGUUUCGUCUAGUUUCAUCUACCAAUUAUCGAGUAUCUUGGAUCUUUGACCACCGGGCGCAUCGCUUCUGUCUCGAUCUACGGUAUUCACCAGUUAUCCCGCCUUGAUUAAGCUUGCAUCGGCUGAUAUUUAUCUGUUCUAUCGUCUUGCCGUUUACGACAUAUUAAUUAUUAUCAAUUCUGUCGGAAUAGACGAUAGAUCUAUUUUUAAUAGCCUGUUGCAUCUUGAUCUUGGCCAUCCUUCGAGUGUUGUUGGGAGUAAGUUCCGUUGUGAUUGGAUCAUCGGCUAGCGGGGUUCAGAUUAAUGUCCUGCUAAAUAUUUCUAGACUGCAACUACCGGGCGCAUCGCUGUGGUUUCACCUAGAGAUAUUGGUGGUAACGUUAGUUUAGAUCUCAUCGGCUUAUGGCUCUAGCUAUGGCGGGGCAACAACUCAACAGCAUCCUGUUUUCUAUCGGCCGUCUGGCCGAUAUUUAUUGUAAAUUAUAUUAAAUCGGCUGGAUGGCCGAUGAAUCACUCACAUUCAUCAAGGUACUGGAAUCGGCUUCACAGCCGAUAUAUUUGUCAUGAUUUAUUUUGUUGCACCAUUAUCGCUACUGUGCUAAGAUUAUAUCGGCCUGAUCGGCCGGUUGCCUCGGACUUCACAAUAACUAUCAUCUCCUUGUCAGUUGAAUGGUCAAACUGACUGGCACGCCCGCGCACACCACGCGCGCUGAUUUGGAUUCUGCACUGGAGUUAAGCAGAUCUCCCAGGUCCUCAUGUGCAGAUGCAGGGUCCACCACCGCCAGGAUUUUGCGUCAACACAUUUUGGCACGCCCAGUGGGACACGAUUAUAAGACUCAGAUGUUUAUUCAGAUAAAAUGAGUAUAUUCGACAGCUGUAUCGAGUUCAUCGGCCGAUUGAAGAGAAGCAUCGGCGGAUUGGUUAAAAAAAUAUACAGAGGCCGAUUGUAGAGAAAGGCAUCGGCCGGUUAGCAUCAGCCAGUUGGAAUUGGAAGAAAAAAAGUGGCAUCGGCCGAUGGAACAUUGGUAUUGCCGAUUGAAAAAAAAAAAUAGAGAGAGCGUGGCAUCGGCCGAUGGAAAAUUGGUUCAGCCGAUUGAAAAAAGAAAGAAAGAAAGAAAAAGAGAGGGGCACCGGCCAUUCGUGCGUCUCCUUAUUGAUAAAAAAAUCGGCCGAUUGAAAAUUGGAUCGGCCGAUCAAAAGUUGUAUCGGCUGAUUAAAAUAUAUGUAUAUAUACAUCGACCGAUUGAAAUAAGGAAAGUAUCGGCUGACUGGUUCAAAAGAUGCAUUGGCCGAUUGAGAUAAGGGAAGCAUCGGCUAAUUAAAUACAUCGGCGAUUGGGAUAUAUAAAAAGAAAAGGGUAUCGGCUAAUUGAAAAAGUGCAUCUGCCGAUUUAGAUAAAAAGGGGAGUUGAAUCGGCUGCUCAAGCAUCGGCUGCCUAUUUAAUAUUCUCCCACAGCUGAUGGGAGAGAUGGAAGAUUUUUCAGCCGAUGAAUGAUUAGGCAGUGAAGAUGAAGUUUUUGCAAGGUACAUACCUCUUCAAGGCUCAAAAUAAUCCUUCGUUGCCUGGACUAUCAACGUGUAGACUAGUGGCCAAAGUAUUCUCAGGACAGCCCAUGGAGUGAAUCGGCUUUAAAAAAAUAAUCCUUCGUUGCCUGGACUAUCAACGUGUAGACUAGUGGCCAAAGUAUUCUCAGGACAGCCCAUGGAGUGAAUCGGCUUAAAAAAAAAAAGGCUGACUUGAAUAGCCGAUGGAAUGGCCGAUGCAGAAGUCUCGCCUGACGACCGACGGAAAUAGUAAUUUACAUGCUGAUUACGUGAUGGCUCUAGAAAAAAGUAUCGGCUGAUAUAAAAGUAUCGGCCGCUAACUACAAAGAGUAUCGGCUGAAAAAAGCAUCGGCCGAUUAGAAAAUUGGAUCGGCCGAUUGAAAGCUGUAUCGGCUGAUUAAAAAAAAACUGCAUCGGCCGAUUGGAAAUUGCAUCAACCGAUUGAAAGUUGUACGGCUAAUUAAAAAAAAUGCAUCGGACACCGGCCGAUUGACUGCUUGGCAAAAAGCAUCAGCUGAUUGCUUCGGCCGAUUGAUUGCUUGGCCAAUAAAAAAAAUUUGGCUGAUUGGAUCAAGCAAAAUAGUAUCGGCUGCUUAUAAAAUCUAUUGGAUAUUAAUUUCGAAGCAUGAAAUAUUCAUACUUUGAAACUGGGGGGCCUGUGUUGACAACAAAAGCUUGCUGGUUACUGCACCAAGUUUUGGUGUCAACAGACUGAUCUGUUGUUUCUACUGCCGGCAAUGCCGAUGGUGUUCUUUAUAUUUGAAGAAGAGUCGACGUGGCUUUGGAUAUUGCAAUCAGACGUCAUUAGCUCGGAAGACAAGUAUCAGACUUCUAUAAUUAGUUUUGGAACAUGAAGCAUUCAUACUCCGAAACUGGGGGGCCUGUGUUGACACUGGAUUUUGACCAAUCCUAUAAAUUCGGAGUACAAGAUAAUUGGAGUCACGUACAACAAUAAGAAGCUAGCAUGCGUGUAUAUGGGCACGGAGUCCAAAUCGGCUUCUUUGGAUUGAUCGGCAAGGAGAGGCAAGGAUGAUAUAAAGGAAUGGCCAGCACGUAUGGAUAAAAAUGAUUAGAAUAUACAACAUGGAUUCUGGUGCACUUUGCAUGCCAUGCGUGGGAGGCUUCCAGAAUAAUUAUGCAUGCGGCCGAUCUGUGCAUGUACGGGAGGUUGUUUCAUAGAAUACAAUAUUUUAGAGAUAGAGUUGGGUUAGUUAGAGAUAGAGUUUUUUAUUAGAAAAGAUUGUGUACGUGACUUGCCUUGUGCGUGGUUAGAUGCCAAUUAUGUAACGUCCGCCCUAUAAAUAUAAAGGGACGUGGCCAUUGUAAAGAAUAAUCACACGAUCAAUAUACAACGUAUUUAUCUUCUAUUUACCUUUUCGGCUUCACGCCAUUGCAUUAGGAGUAGGAGUAAUGUAGCUUCUCGACAAGUUCCUCCCAGCAAGCUUUUGUUGUCAACAGUAGUAAUAACCCAUUCAUAACCAGUUUGGUUUGCAACCCUAUAUUUAGCUUUGUCUACGUAUGUGUCGUAAUAAUACAUACCAAUAGCUGCACAAAUAGUAGCAAGUGCCCUCCUCCUCCUCUUCCUUCUUUGCAGCCACUCUUCAUCGGAAUCAGACGAUGAUGAUGAAUGAGCCGUAAGAAUCUGUACAAACAAAACAAAAAUGAUCAAACUUCAUGAACACAAAUCACAAAUAACUAAAAUGGCUCACAAAUACAACACAUGACAAAUAAAUCUUAUCAUAAAUAUAACAUAUGAUACACAAAUGGGAUGACAAAUAUAACAGAUGUCACAUAAAUGGGUUCACAAAAUAAAAUUGCUCACACAUAACAAGAGUUCACAAAACAAGAUAGUUCAAAUAGUUCAAACAUUAUUUUCGAUUCCUCUCAAGCAACUUCAAUCUAAAUGGUCAGUAGCUUGACUUGUUCCUGAUGCACUUCAUUUUCAGCCAUGUCAACCUAGCUUCAUUUGUAUUAAUGUUGGAAAAAACAGUUCGGUUGUAUCUUGUGGCAAACAACUCAGUGACCAUGAAAAAUUCUUCUGUACCACCUGAUGCUCCACAUUCCCUUGCCAACUUGAGGCUUUGUUCUAUCUUAUAAUCUUCCCUUUCCUGAAUUUUCCACCUUUCUUGCAUCUCCAUCUCCUUUUCCUUCCUCCUGUAUUCCCUCUCCAUCUCCUUUUGCUUCAUCUUUGCUUCCAUCUCCAUUUCUCUCUGCUUCUUUAUUUGUUCCAUCUCCAUAUCUUUUUGCUUCAUCUUUAACUCCAUCUUAACUCUUAUUGUGUUUGAGUCUUCAGAGCUUUUAGCUUGCAUGGUGUGGACAAGACCCUUGAAUAUGUGUAGGAACUGAUUUUUUCCCUUCUUUUUGACAAGAGGUUAAUCGAUCACCAGAAGAUCUUCCCAAAACUUCCUAAGAAGAUAUUUUUUUUUGAUUUGGCAUUAUUCAACAAGAAAAAAAGAAAUUUUUUGAUAAAUUCUUUUUUUUGAUGAUUAUGCGGCGGACAGACACUAAGAUGGAAUAGGCCCGCUAAUAUGCCUAAUGUACCCGUAACAAUAUGAUGCGAAGCUAUUCCUCCCGGAAUGAAAGGAUCAAAACCUUCUGCACCCCACGCAGGAGAUUGUAAAUUUUGAAACUUUAGUAUUUAUUUUUCUUCCGUACAAGAUAGUUGCCCUAGCAAAAGUGUUAGGCACCCUUCAAAUAGGAAUCCAUUUUCUAACUGGCUUUCGUGCUUUGGUGAGUCGUCCGAGAUCCUUUCGGUGACAUAGUACAAAUUAACCCUUUGUUCUUUUUUCUUUUUAGGUAUACCCUCCCCCGGGAAAGAAGAAUAGGACAAAAGAUAUGGAAUGCAAUAGAAAAUAGGAUAAAAGAUAUGGAAUGCAAUAGAAAAAAGGAUCCUAGCUUUCGUCUCUCAGUGUCAGUGUCGACCCAGCAGAGUGCUUUCGCCGUUGGUGUUCUUUCCGAUCUCAAUGGACUACUUAACUGGAGGAUUCACUGCAAAUAUUAGCUUGUCUCAUUAUUGCCGCGACAACGGCCUACUUCUUCACAUUCACCGAGCAAUGCAUGCAGUUAUUGAUAGACAGAAAAAUCAUGGUAUGCAUUUUCGUGUAUUAGCUAAAGUAGGAAGAACAGGUUGUUCCAGCUAGAUACCGUCAAAAAUUCCUGUGGGGGCAUCUUACUUGACCUGAUCCAUGUUGUGUUACGCGGCUCCUAAGAAAAUUCCCGUGACUCUACCUACGUCGGAUCCCGCUUCCGUUUUCCCCAUCUAUUGAUGGGUUGUUAACGAGUGUUUCCCCCAAAUGGUUUCACCGGUAAUAAAAGGUCAGGUAAUAAAAGGUAAAAAAAAACCAAGUUCACCUCACUUUCAAUUUAUUUUUCACUCUGUUUGCAAAACAUGCAAACAGAGAAGUUUCCUUAGUUUAUGAAAAGUAGGUAAAGCGGAACUGUGGAAGUCGGUAAAAACCCUCUCAAAUAGGCUUUUUGGUUCACAUAUCAUAAUCGCAUUUCUUUAUCCUAGUUAUGACUUUGAUAUUUUUCGAGAUUUUAUAGCAUGUUAAUUUAUACUUAUUGCAGAUGGCCUUUCUACGUAAAGGAGAUAUGCAAUAGCCCCUAUGUGAGAUUUUGGUAAUCUUUAUCGAAAUUAAAUCAAUUUCCUUGUAAUUAGUCCAAUAAAGUAUUAUAAAUAUCAGGAUUUAUUUAAAAAAGAACAUAGGAUACCAUGAACCAAUGCUUGAAACUUUGGUCAUAAAACUAACCUAAAAUUUGAGAAUGUCAUGUUCUUUUUUUUUCUGAAACUGAGAAUGUCAAUUCUUAGCGUCAUUACAUUUGAAAAAUCUAAGGUCGGCUUGUCACACGUCAGGCCAACGAAGAGGUUGUUUUCUCCAGCAGCAAUUGGCCCAAGUAACUGCGUACAGGCCCACCAAAUCAACUACAGUUGGGCCGAACCGGUAGCAAAAAUCGAAACGGACAAGUUUCCAAAGAAAAAGGAAAUACAACUAACGCGUACGCGUAUGCGUAUGGGUACAGGCCAUAUACAGCUUUCGAUCCCCCGCGUACGGAAUACGCUCUCGCUCCCCUGUCUUUCUCGCCAGAUCAGAUCGGAAAUUCCAAAGCAAGCUUUUCGUCAGCGAUUCGCCGAGACCCAUCCAACGCCGCCGCCAUGUCCGCCGCCGUCGCCGCCCCCGUCCUGCGCGAGGACGACCGGGGGAUCCCACGAUCCCUCCCCCUCCUCGCGGCGCUCGUAGAGGCGGAGUCCCGCCGUUUCGCCGCCGCCGCCUCCCGUCCCGCCGAGACCGGCCUCGUCCGCGCCUUCCGCAGCGGCGCCGCCCCGAAGGUCCCGAUCCGCAUCUUCAUGGAGCGGAUCCACCUGCUGACCCGGUCGGUGCCGACCUCCCGGGGCAUGACCAGGAUCGACGGCACCAGCUUCGUGCUCGCCGGGAUCUACUUGACUCGCUUCAUCCGCAGCCCCGCCGGCAGGGAGGCGGGGAUCCUGGUGGAGCCAGCCACCGCGCACCGCCUGGUUGCCGUCGCGCUCUUCCUUGGCGCCAAGUUCGGCGGCCACCCGCCCAGGAAGUGGAUUGGGGUGUUCCAGGCCAGCUCGGAAGGCGCGAUCCGUGCCGGCGAGAUGGUGGCCCUCGAGGGCCGCUUCCUGCGUGCAAUCGACUUUCGCCUGUUCGUAGAGACCUGGGAGUUCGAUUCCUUCUGCCUUGUGCUGGAGCGGGGGCCUCGGGCACCAAGGGGCGGCAGCGGUAGCGUUGGCUGCGCCAGCAAGAAGAGGCAGGCGGACGCCACGGUCGGAGAGGAUGAGCGCCGCCGCGUCCGAGCUCGCCUGCCGCCACCUGCCGUCUUGUCCAAUUAGGAUUUGUUUUCAAUUUGAAGUUUCGCCUUCAAUUCGCUUAUUAUUUCUUUUAGUUGCUUUUGAUUGUUCGUCUAUCUAUUUUUGCUGCAGGUACAAGGCUAGGAGUAGAAGUGUUCGAGGUGGAGAAGG
RNAcentral lists this long non-coding RNA (48205 nucleotides) under Setaria viridis. RNAcentral's name for it is "long non-coding RNA (SVIR_LNC004216)". Lineage: Eukaryota; Viridiplantae; Streptophyta; Magnoliopsida; Poales; Poaceae. The record is from RNAcentral.